UCUACCUAAUUUUUCUUGAGUACGGUUUGGGGGUUCUAGGUAGCCUUGCACCAAUGGCGACAACUUUGAAGUCCUCCAUCAUCUUCUCUGCUAGUGUAUUCAUGCUCCUUUCCAUGGCCAUAACCGCUAAGGACAAUGUCUCUAGCGGUGCAAGGGCCAAGGUGACCAACCUCAUGAUGCAAGCAUGCAAGACUGCAUCAGCCUACAGUCGUGAUGGCGACCUCCGUAACGUCACACAGGAAUUUUGCUUAUCGACCCUGGAAUCAAACGAUAGGAGUGUUGAUGCUAAGGACCACCUUGAACUGGUGCUCAUCAUGAUUGACAUCCUUAAAGGCCGCCUCACUACUGCAACUCGCAAUGUCGAGAAAAUGCUAGAAAAUUCUAAGAAAGGCACAAUGACUGCACGCGACCUUAGUUUAUGCAAUGAGCACUAUGAUACCACAGUGAAAAUCAUCAACAUGUGUGAUGCCAUGGUCAUGGACUAUCGCUCGGACAAGGGCGGGAUAAAGCCCUCUCAGCUUCCUCGUUGUGUUGAUAGAGCGGGCUUCCGCGUCGAGGAUUGUAGGAUCAUUAUGCUCAUAGAUAUGCCAUGGGCGGAUUCCUUGAUAAAAGAAAAUGUUGAAAUGACCAUGCUGGUCAACCUCAACUAUGCCUUGCUAGCACCAUAUGAUGGUAAUGCUUAAUAGAGUGCUUGUUUUGUAUGUGACAAAUGACAUUGUAGCGACAUCAAUGUUAGUUUCAUUUUGAAUAAUAACAGUUUUGUUGUCACCUUUGUUUUAUUCUCUAGUUUGACAUCACUGCGCCAUAUGUUUAUGUCCCGUAUAUUUUGUUUUACGUCGCAAGUCAAACAAGAGCAUAAGAAAUAUAUAUUGACUGUAUAAAAUAUUUAAUGUACAUAAAAUUACAAAAUAAAAAAUAGUGUAAAACAUGGGUAAAAAUGUAAUUAUUUAGGUCUUACUAGUUAUACUUUGAUUUUUUCUGUAAAAUUUUGCUAAUGAAUCAAUAUGAACAUUUUAUUUAAGAAAAUGAUGGAAAAAUACCCCGGGGGAUGAAAAUUAACAUAUUCUGCUCACUGGGUGGUGAAUAGAAUUCGUUGAUAUCAACGAUAUAUUUAUGGAAUGUAUAACUUGAGCGUUCUACAAGAGAUACUGCUAACAACUAUGUGGAUGUUUCAAAAUGAUUGGGGCUUGUUUGUCUUUUCUACCCACAGAAAUGUUACGACAAUUCCACCGUUCCAAUACUAGAGAUACCCACCGAUAAAGGUGGUGUUGCACAAUAAUGAACUUAGAAAUUGUUAUUUUGAAAUCAGUAUAUUGAUAUUUUUCAAAAAGUGGACUAACGGGUUGUACAUUAAUUGAGAAAUUAUUUUGAAGUUUUGGCCUANNNNNNNNNNNNNNNNNNNNNNNNNNNNNNNNNNNNNNNNNNNNNNNNNNNNNNNNNNNNNNNNNNNNNNNNNNNNNNNNNNNNNNNNNNNNNNNNNNNNNNNNNNNNNNNNNNNNNNNNNNNNNNNNNNNNNNNNNNNNNNNGGCACGCCGACCCUAGACGAGGUGCCCUGCUGUCGACAGGUGGACGCCUGGGCGCGGACCUGAGAUCUGGCAGUGAUGUGGCAGCAGUUGUGGUUGUAUGGGCAGCACAAUGGUUAGAUCUGGUGGCGCAUGAUGGCUUGUUAGCCUUGGUGGCUUCAUGGCGAAGAGCUGGCAUGAUGGUCAUGGUACGCAGAGUUAAUUGCAAGGAACUACCAUACUUUGGCACGUCGUAAUGAAUCAGUACCAUUAAUCACUUUGUUUUGCAGCUCAGUACCAACUCUAAGCCUAAGUGUUGCAAAAUGGUCUGACAGCCGUAUAAGCACGUAUUGACCAUGUAUCUGACCGACCGGGCCCACGUGUCAGGUGCCACGGUGGCGUACCCGCACCCACCCAACUCGGUCGAUGUAUCUGGCUCGAGGCUGGUCAAACCAGAGGCAGCCGCCGCACUCUGUCCCUCUCCUCUGUUCGCCCCUCGCCCUCUUCUCUCCUAUCCGCCGCCGCUCGCGGCGUAGUCCACCGCAUCCCCCAUCGCCGUCGUGCCAUGUUCUUCAAGGAUGAGAGCAGCGACGACUGAUCCAGCCUGCACAUCUCCUCCUCCGACGAUGGCAAGCAGUAUCAGGUCAGUAGUAGAGCUAGAGUUAGGGUUAGGGUUUCUAAAUUGGGGAUUUGGUGAUCUACUUUUUUGAUUUGGCUAUUUUGGUUCUUUUUGCUCCUGUAGAUUCCUGCUAGCAUUGAAGACCAAGACUACAAUGGCUUGAAGAAGGCACCCGAGGGGCUCUGCGUGGAGCAUCGGCUGACAACUGAGCGCCAUGUAGCUUUUGAAGGAUUUGAGAUGGGCAGGAGGUUUCUAGUUUGUCCUCAGCCUGUAAGAAUCAUGCACAUAUUUUGUUCUCUGUAAUAUAGUUGGUAGGCUCUGUUUAGUAAGUUAGUACUACCACUGGUGGAAAAACAGGCUUCCGUCCAGCCCCAUAAGUCGCGAAGCUGUAGGAACCGCGACUAAUGGGACCUUUAGUCGCGGUUCUGGAGGUGAACCGCGACCAAAGGCCUGGGCCCAGGGCGCUCGGUGGCCAGCUGGCGCACGUGAGGGUCUUUAGUCGCGGUUGGCGAGGACAACCGCGACUAAAGGCCUUCGGGCACCUUUAGUCACGGUUUGCCAGGCCAACCGCAACUAAAGCCCCUCCCCUAUAUAUACCCAUCCAGCAGCCAACACUUAGCCAUUUGGAGCCAUUCUCUUCACAAGUGGGUGUAGGUUUGCUUUUGGUUCCUCUUAUGCACAUAAGGUGUUUGAUGAAAUGCCCCAAGAGCAUGAAACAAACAUGACAUGAAGUGUUGGAGCCACACUCCUCGAUCGCGGUUAGCAACUUGAUGAACCUUUGAUGUGUCAUUGAUAAAAUAUGCAUGUGUGCAGUUCAUUGUUUAAUUUAUAUUGUUUGUAGCUAGUUAGUUUAACAAAUGCAUGAUGGUUAAUUAUAUAUUUUAUAUUAUAAUAAUGCAGAUGAAUCGGCAAUGGAUGUACGGUAACCGACUCUCCGGCGAGUUCACUACGGGUUUGAAAGAUUUCCUCGUAGUGGCUAAUGCGAACAAGCAGGGGGGUUUUGUUAUCUGUCCAUGUGUUAUCUGUAGGAAUCAGAAGGGUUACUCUUCCUCAAGAGAUGUUCACAUGCAUCUGCUUCGGCACGGUUUCAUGCCAAGCUAUAAUUGUUGGACCAAGCAUGGAGAAAGAGGGGUUAUAAUGGAAGAAGAUGAAGAAGGGGAUGAUUUCAUCGAUGAAAGCUAUCUUGCUCAUUUCGGUGAUACUUUCAUGGAGGAUGCUGAAGGUGAAGGGGAAGGUGAAGAAGAGGCACGUGAUGAUCCCGUUGAUGAUCUUGGUCGGACCAUUGCUGAUGCACGGAGACGCUGCGAAACUGAAAAGGAGAGGGAGAAUUUGGAUCGCAUGUUAGAGGAUCACAGAAAGGCGCUGUACCCCGGAUGCGAUGAUGGUCUGAAAAAGCUGGGCUGCACACUGGAUUUGCUGAAAUGGAAGGCAGAGGCAGGUGUAGCUGACUCGGCAUUUGAAAACUUGCUGAAAAUGUUGAUGAAUAUGUUUCCAAAGGAUAACGAGUUGCCCGCCAGUACGUACGAAGCAAAGAAGGUUGUCUGCCCUCUAGGUUUAGAGGUUCUGAAGAUACAUGCAUGCAUCAACGACUGCAUCCUCUACCGCGGUGAAUACGAGAAUUUGAAUGAAUGCCCGGUAUGCACUGCAUUGCGUUAUAAGAUCAGAGGCGAUGACCCUGGUGACGAUGUUGAGGGCCAGAAACCCAGGAAGAGGGUUCCCGCCAAGGUGAUGUGGUAUGCUCCUAUAAUACCACGGUUGAAACGUCUGUUCAGGAACAAAGAGCAUGCCAAGUUGUUGCGAUGGCACAAAGAGGACCGUAAGUCGGACGGGGAGUUGAGACACACCGCAGAUGGAACGCAAUGGAGAAAGAUCGACAGAUGGUUCAAAGAUUUUGCAGCUGACGCAAGGAACAUAAGAUUUGCUCUAAGUACGGAUGGCAUGAAUCCUUUUGGCGAGCAGAGCUCCAGCCAUAGCACCUGGCCCGUGACUCUAUGCAUCUACAACCUUCCUCCUUGGUUGUGCAUGAAGCGGAAGUUCAUUAUGAUGCCAGUGCUCAUCCAAGGUCCGAAGCAACCCGGCAACGACAUCGAAGUGUACCUAAGGCCAUUAGUUGAUGAACUUUUACAGCUGUGGGGUGGUGUCCGUGUGUGGGAUGAGCACAAACAAGAGGAAUUUGACCUACGAGCGUUGCUUUUCGUAACCAUCAACGAUUGGCCUGCUCUUAGUAACCUUUCGGGACUGUCAAAUAAGGGAUACAAUGCAUGCACGCACUGCUUACAUGAGACUGAAAGUGUACAUUUGCCAAAUUGUAAGAAGAACGUGUACCUUGGGCAUCGUCGAUUUCUUCCGAAAAUUCAUCCAGUAAGAAAGAAGGGCAAGCAUUACAACGGCAAGGCAGAUCACCGGCCGAAGCCUGCGGAACGCACUGGUGCUGAGGUAUUUGAUAUGGUCAAGGAUUUGAAAGUCAUCUUUGGAAAGGGUCCUGGCGGACAAUCAGUUCCGAAGGGAGCUGACGGGCACGUAGCCAUGUGGAAGAAGAAAUCUAUAUUCUGGGAGCUAGAAUAUUGGAAAGUCCUAGAUGUCCGCUCUGCAAUCGACGUGAUGCACGUUACGAAGAAUAUUUGCGUGAACCUCCUAAGCUUCUUGGGCGUGUAUGGGAAGACAAAUGAUACAAAGGAAGCAUGGCAGGACCAGCAACGUUUGAAAGACCCUGAUGACCGGCAUCCGGAAUGGUUUCAAGGUCGUGCCAGCUACGCUCUGACCAAAGAAGAGAAGGUCAUCUUUUUUGAAUGCCUGAGCAGUAUGAAGGUCCCGUCUGGAUUCUCGUCCAAUAUAAAGGGAAUAAUAAACAUGGCGGAGAAAAAGUUCCAAAACCUGAAGUCUCACGACUGCCACGUGAUUAUGACGCAAUUGCUUCCGAUUGCUUUGAGGGGGCUCCUGCCGGAAAAUGUUCGAGUAGCCAUUGUGAAGCUAUGUGCAUUCCUCAAUGCAAUCUCUCAGAAGGUAAUCAAUCCAGAAGUUCUACCACGGUUACAGAACGAUGUGAUCCAAUGCCUUGUCAGUUUCGAGUUGGUGUUCCCGCCAUCCUUCUUCAAUAUUAUGACGCAUCUCCUGGUUCACCUAGUCGAAGAGAUUUUCGUUCUCGGUCCUGUAUUUCUACACAAUAUGUUCCCCUUCGAGAGGUUCAUGGGAGUAUUAAAGAAAUAUGUUUGUAACCGUGCUAGGCCAGAAGGAAGCAUCGCCAAGGGCUAUGGAAAUGAGGAGGUAAUUGAGUUUUGUGUUGACUUUGUUCCUGACCUUAAGCCGAUUGGUCUUCCUCGAUCGCGGCACGAGGGGAGACUAAGUGGAAAAGGCACGAUCGGAAGGAAAUCAACGAUAUGUAUGGACGGCCAUUCUCUGACUGAAGCACACCACACUGUACUGACCAAUUCCAGCUUGGUGGCUCCGUACUUUGAGAAACACAAGAAUAUUUUACGCUCGGACAACCCGGGGAAGCCUGAAUCCUGGAUUAGGAAGGCCCACAUGGAGACUUUCGGCAGUUGGUUGAGAAAACAUUUAAUGAAAAAGGAAAAAGGAAGAAAAAAAAGAAAAAGGAAGAAAACAACAGAAGAAAAAAAGGAAGAAGAAAAAAAAGGAAGAAGAAAAAAAGAAAGAAUUUUUAAAAUUAAAUACGUGAAAAUACGUGAAAGAAUUUUUUGUGUCUAAUAAAAUCAAUUUUUUGAAAUACACGAAUAAUUUUUAAACGGAGAGGGGCGGCGAGGGGGGCGGCGAUGCGCGCGGUGUUUUUUUAGGGAUCGAGAGGGGACGGCGAGGGUUAUAAAUGUGUUGUCCUCGCCUCCCCUCUCGCGCUCUACCGCGACACCCUCUCCCACCCCUUCAUCGCCCCCUCCUUUCGCCACCGCCCUUUCGCCACCGCCACCGCCACCGCCCCCCUUCUUCACUUAAUGAAUUUGUUUUUACUACAUGUUUUCAGGACUGACAUAAUGGCGGACGAUAGAGCUGACCCGAUUAUGGACAACUAUGAUCCGGACGGUGAAGCACAUAUGUUCGGCAUCAUAAACGGCGAUAUUCUAUAUGUGCCGACCGGAGAAGAAGAAGAUGAUAUCUCUUCUUAUCUGAACCUUGACGGUGAAGAUGAAGGGCGCCGUCAGCAAGAUGAUGCCGAACAAACGUCGAUAAACGACGAUCUUCAAAUGGAAGUAGCAACCACCUCCGGCGCCGAGGUAUAUAUAUACAUUGAGCCUCUGGUGAUACAAACUAACUGAUUUGAAUAAAUAUGUGUGUACUAACGCGCGCGACUCUUUCUUAUUUUAGCCCUCGGCCGGAUCGUCGAAACAAUCGAGUACGUCGUCAAAGCGUGGCGCAACCAAGACGAUGAAACAAGGAGAAACAUGCACCAUCGAGGUUGUCGACAGUGCAACCGGCAGGCCGCUGGAGCCCCACAAGAACGCCACCAAGUUUGUCAGCCAAUGCGGAGCCAUUGUUAGAGACAACGUCUCGAUCACCGUCCAGGAGUGGAAUGAGCCAAAGAAGGCACGAAUUGAUGGUUUCACUUUUGUCGAUAAGAGAACAAAAAAAGAUUGCUUCAAGAAGCUUAUGGAACAUUUCGUUCUACCUCCGGAAUACAACAAAUUCGAUGAGGAGGGUAACAAGAUUGAGGAAAACAAGGAGAGGAGGAGGCUAGUCAAACAGUUCGCUCUUCAUAAGAUGGCCGACGCAUUCCGGAAAUUCAAGCAAAAUCUAGUCCAUGACUUUGUCAAGCAGAACAAGACUCCGGAUUUCAAAGGACAAUAUGAGAAACUGAAACAUGAUUGGCCAGAAUUUGUGAAGCAAAAGAAAUCGGAGCAGUUCAUUCAAAUAUCAAAAAAAAAUAAGGAAAAUGCGGCUAAGAAGGAGUACAAUCAUGUUAUGGGGCCAGGAGGGUAUCGCAUUUGGGUGCCUAGGUUGGAGAAGAUGGAGAACGAGCUGACGGCGCAAGGAAUCCGUCCAGGUACGGAGGGAUGGGACCCAAGGGCCAAAAGCUGGUGGUACGGGCAUGGGGGAACGCUGAACCCGGAGACAGGGGAGUGUGUUUACCGGGGCAAAUUACUGCACCGGAGCCUCUGGUGGUCGAAAUUACUUCACCGGAGCCUCCUCGCUACCCCGUGGACGAUAUAAAGGAGAUGAAAGAAUGUCAUCUGUAUUAUCCUAUCAGACGCCGCCCCCCAAUCCACCUCCGGCAAAGAAGCAGAAGCAGUCCUGGAUUAUUAACCCGGACCCUUAUGUACCUAAGACCACAAAGGUACCGGAGCCAUCACUGAAGCCUCUCCCCACAAGGCCUUGGGAACGUAGUGCCGAGGAAGUCGACGCGGCCGCGGCUGCUGAUUUGGAGAAAUGGAAGGCGGACUGCAAGAAGAAAAGAGAGCCCGAGCCCAAGCCAGUAUUUUCUGAUGAGCAAAAGAAGUGGGCUAAGUCAUUUUUGAGAACACCGUCCCAAGCCGCGAAGAAUCUGCCUAACGACUAUGCACGUGAACUUCGCAGGCAGGCACUCAUGUUCAAGGAGAACAAAGAGCGGGAGAAGGCCGAAAGUAAAAAAGCGGGAAACAAGUUGCCCAGCUCGGGGAACAAAGUAAACAAUCGAUUGCCCCGCUUAUAGUGGAAGCCUUCUGUCCGGAUGCCCCCGAGAUCAUACAAGCUGCGGCAGCACAGGGAUUGACUGUAACGAGUGCCAGAGAACAAGCGGCCAACUUAGGUAUUACUCUUCGUGAACUGUUAGGCCUUGAUGAGGCGCCAGUGAAGGAGGUAGUAAUUACAUAUGUCAAGAAUGGGCCUCUCGUCGAGCCUGCGCAGGAAAAGGAUCUACCUCCACAAAUGAAAGGUCUGCUGAAAUGGUACAAGGGUUACAUAAAAAAUAAAAACGCCAAAGAAUAUAUUUAUGCGGAAGUUAGACAUGAGCAUCACUUCAAGCAUUACUAUGUACAAAUUGAACUGAGUGAAUUGUUCCAGCUUUUCAAUCUGCGCGAGCUCGACAAAUCUAUCAUUAGUUGCUACGUUCUGUAAGUGAUUUAUUUCUACCCCAUCUCGUUCAUAUUUCCUGCACUAUAUAUAUGUCCUAACUAUAUUGUUGUGUCCGCUAUUAUACAUGCAGAAUGAAGAUUAAGGAAUGCAGAGUAAGGAACAUCCAUGAUGUUGGGUUCAUUGACCCACACAUCGUUAAUGGAUAUGUGUUGGAGCAUCACCCCGCCGACAUGGAGGCAGACCUGUGGCAGUUUCUUACAAAGCAGGAACUCAAAAGUGAUAUUCUAUUUCCUUACCAUUUUGGGUGAGUGUUUCUGUCUUGAGCACAUUCUCUUUUGUUUACUCCAUGCAUGGUAUGUGGCCGGCUAAUCGAUGAGUUAUGCAUGACGUACUGUGCAUGUAUCGUGUCCGCAGGUUCCACUGGAUUCUGCUAGUAAUUAAAGUUAACACCUCAGAAUGUCUCGUCCACGACUCUGUGAAUAUGGAUCCAAAGCUUUGGGGCGACAUGAGAAGAAUGCUGCAGAAGUAAUUAUUUUCAUUCAUUUGCGCUCUAUAUCGAUCGGCCUAUUUCGUUCAUUUCCUAAUAUCAAGUAACUAAUAACUCUCUUGUUCAUUUAAUUUUCUUUGCCUCGUAGGGUUUGGAGACGGUUCAUAGAUACAAAGGUCGGUGAAUUCAAAAAAGAGCUAGAAUUCAAAAGGCCAAAGGCUAAGAAUGCUGGGGAUAUUCAGCCACCGGAGACCAAUCUAUGUGGAUACUAUGUCUGUGAGAUGAUCCGGAGAUACACCUCUGAGCGGGUUCCGAGUGAUACCAAUGCUCAGAGGAAUAACCUCCGGUGGAUGCUUAGUCCAGAAGCUCGCUUCCGACCACUUCAAGAGGAACUAGCUGGAUGGUUCAGCAGGGAAGUCCUCCAUCCUAAAGGAGAACACUAUUACGAGGACGUAGAACUUUAUAUGCAUUAAAUCAUGUAUGGAAACUUGUUCAAAAUUGUAUAUGGUCAUCCGAUGAUAUUGAAUAUAUAUUGUAUAUUCCUCUUGAAUUCUUUUUGGUUCUAAUUUCAAAUUUAUUUGAAAUUGUACAUUCAUAUGCAUGUAUGUAGUACCGUAGAAUAUAUGAAACUCCUUCAAAAUUAAAAUAAAGCACAAAAGAAAUAAAACAAUACAAAUUAAACAGAAAACAGGUUUAGGGGGGGGGGCUAAAACCCUAAACCUGUGGCGGCCUUUAGUCGCGGUUGGCCAGAAGAACCGUGACUAAAGGUCCUCCGCCCCAACGGCCGCCUGGCGCCCACGUGGACGGGCCUUUAGUCGCGGUUCUUAAGGAGCCGCGACUAAAGGUGGGGGGCUUUAGUCGCGCUUAUUUGGUCGCGGUUGCGCAACCGCGACUAAUGGCAGUUGCGAACCGCGACCAAAGGCCUUUUUUCCACCAGUGUACUGAUGAUGACGCUCAUUGUUUACCAUUUAGUAGGGGGGCGUGAGAGCCUUGCUGGAGCGGCACGCCGGCCCUAGACGAGGUGCCCUGCUGUCGACAGGUGGACGCCUGGGCGCGGACCUGAGAUCUGGCAGUGAUGUGGCAGCAGUUGUGGUUGUAUGGGCAGCACAAUGGUUAGAUCUGGUGGCGCAUGAUGGCUUGUUAGCCUUGGUGGCUUCAUGGCGAAGAGCGGGCAUGGUGGUCAUGGUACGCAGAGUUAAUUGCAAGGAACUACCACACUUUGGCACGUCGUAAUGAAUCAGUACCAUUAGUCACUUUGUUUUGCAACUCAGUACCAACUCUAAGCCUAAGUAUUGCAAAAUGGUCUGACAGCCGUAUAAGCACGUAUUGACCAUGUAUCUGACCGACCGGGCCCACGUGUCAGGUGCCACGGUGGUGUACCCGCACCCACCCGACUCGGUCGAUGUAUCUGGCUCGAGGCUGGUCAAACCAGAGGCAGCCGCCGCACUCUGUCCGUCUCCUCUGUUCGCCGCUCGCCCUCUUCUCUCCCAUCCGCCGCCGCUCGCGGCGUAGUCCACCGCAUCCCCCACCGCCGUCGUGCCAUGUUCUUCGAGGAUGAGAGCAGCGACGACUGAUCCAGCCUUCACAUCUCCUCCUCCGACGAUGGCAAGCAGUAUCAGGUCAGUAGUAGAGCUAGAGUUAGGGUUAGGGUUUCUAAAUUGGGGAUUUGGUGAUCUAGUUUUUUGAUUUGGCUAUUUUGGUUCUUUUUGCUCCUGUAGAUUCCUGCUAGCAUUGAAGACCAAGACUACAAUGGCUUGAAGAAGGCACCCGAGGGGCUCUGCGUGGAGCAUCGGCUGACAACUGAGCGCCAUGUAGCUUUUGAAGGAUUUGAGAUGGGCAGGAGGUUUCUCUAGUUUGUCCUCAGCCUGUAAGAAUCAUGCACAUAUUUUGUUCUCUGUAAUAUAGUUGGUAGGCUCUGUUUAGUAAGUUAGUACUACUGAUGAUGACGCUCAUUGUUUACCAUUUAGUAGUUUUGAUGCUCACCUUUGUUAAACAUGCCACCUGAUGUCAGUAAUAUAUAUGGGCAGAAGCUUACUUGGUAGUGGAGAUGCUCAUAGUUUAGUUAUAGAUUAGUACUGAUGCUCACUUCAACAUUUUGUGUAGGCAUGUGCUCAUGUAUAUUUCUAUGUAGUUAAAUUGGCCACUAUUUUGGAGUAUUAUAUUUGUCCAGCUGCUUAGUUAGGAGUGGAGAUGCUCAUUGUUUAAGUGAGGCAAACAGUGAUUAUUUAAUAGAGUAGAAGCUCAAAGUUGAGUGCCGUAUAGCUGCUUGUCUAUAUUUUAUAUUGCAUGACAAUUUGUCCUAGAUAUAGGUUGCAUUAGAAUUAGCAUUGUUUAGUUGUCCACAUGCAUAGGUUGUAGUUGUUAUGCUGUUAGCUUAUUUUUUUUAAAUGCCCUUUUAUAAUUGGAAUUCUUCAGAGAGUAAAAAUUUAAGUGUUUGCUAUAUUGCAGCAAGGUCAGAAUUGUGGUUUUCUUGGGUGGGUUGACCCAGAGUAGCCUCCCACAAUGCAAAAUGCAUUAUUGAAGGUUUGGGAAAUGUUUGAAGACAGCAGGAUUGCUACGAGGAAGGAUAACCUCGAUAGUUUACUUAUUAUUCACCACCUUAAAGAAGAGAAAAGGAAUCUGGAUGCCAACUAUGACAAACUAGUUGAAGUUGUUCAUCAACUUCUCGAUGCCUAGGAGGACAACGUGCUUGCUUUCAGCUAUGUGCAGGCUAAGGAGAAUAGAGGUGAGGUUACCUGUGCAUCAGCCGUGGCUGGCAUGAAGACUGAGAUGGAGAAGAAAGAGGCAGAGAACUUGAAGCUGCAAGAGAAGUAUGUAGUGCUGAUGAACCUGGUAGAAGCUCAAGGCAGUGUCAUUAGGAACCUAAAGAUGAAUCAUUUGAAAGAGAAGGAAAUGCUAAGUGAAGGCAACAUCAAUUUCAAGGUUCAGGUUGAUGAGCUCACCAAGACUGUGAAAAAAGUCGCUGAAGACAAUGUGCAGCUGAACCAUCAUAUGUCUCAUCUCAAGAAGGGAGAUGCUAAUCUCAUAAAACGCAGGGAUGAGCUCAAGCUCUAGGUUGUUGUUCAUUUGAAGGCACUCGAGAAGAACAAAGAGAAGUUGAAGUUGAUCCAUGACAUCUUGAAGGAAUGAGGUAGACGAAGAUGAAGAUGAACUGGGUAGAUGAAGCAGAGUAUACCUAUCUUGAUAUGUGUUGCUUUGGUAGAAGGCUUUGCUAAGCUUUUGUGAAGAAUAGUGGUUUAAAGAAGUGUAAUGUAUGGAUGUAGUAGUUGUGAACUAUGUUGAACUCCACUAUGCUAUGGUCUUUAGCUAAUGUUGUAUGAAUCUAUUAAUUAUGGCUGUAUGAAUCUAUGGUUAUGUUCAAGUAUAUUUUGUUAGAUGGCUCACGUUAUACUUAUGAUGGUAUAUGUUGCUUUGAUAGAUGGAUGAUAGAUAAUGGUUGAUGGUUGAAUUUAUAUAUAUCUUGAUAGAUGUUGCUUUCAUGGUUAGGGUUUUGUGGUUAGGGUUCCGUCAACGCCGAGCCACCCUAAACCAGACAAGUUGGGUGGUUAGGGUUCCCUCGACGCCGAGCCACCCUAAACCAGACAAAUUGGGUGGUUAGGGUUCCAUCGACGCUGAGCCACCCUAAACCAGACAAGUUGGUUGGUUAGGGUUCCCUCGACGCCGAGCCACCCUAAACCAAACAAAUUGGGUGGUUAGGGUUCGCUCGACGUUGAGCCACCCUAAACCAGACAAGUUGGGUGGUUAUGGUUCGCUCGACGCCGAGCCACCCUACACAAGACAAAUUGGGUGGUUAGGGUUCCCUCGACAUCGAGCCACCCUAAACCAGAAAAAUUGGUUUGUUAGGGUUCCCUCGAUGCCGAGCCACCCUAAACCAGACAAAUUAGGUUGUUAGGGUUCCCUCAAAGCAGAGCCACCCUAAACCAGACCAGUUGGGUGGUUAGGGUUCCCUCGACGACGAGCCACCCCAAACCAGACAAAUUGGGUUUUUAGGGUACACUCGGCGCAGAGCCACCCUAAACCAGACAACUUGGGUUGUUAGGGUUCCCUCUAUGCCGAGCCAUCCUAAACCGGUCAAAUUGGGUGGUUAUGGUUCCCUCGACGCCGAGCCACCCUAAACCAAAGAACUAUCAUAUAAAGCUAUAAACAAACGAAUACCUUAUGAAGCUAUAAACAAACAAAUAUCUUAUGACGCUAUAGACAAACAAAUAUCAUAUGAAACAAGAAACAAACAAAUAUCAUAUGCAACUAGGCACAGACAAAUAUCAUAUGCUAGUGUCAAACUUAGUACACAUUAAACAUUGCUCAUAUGAGACUUAGUACACAUCAGACCCAACUUAGUACUCCAUCAGAACAUACAUAGUUCAGAAGCACAAAUAACUUAGUUCAGAAGCAAAACCCAUAGGCAUAUAUAUUCUAGUACACAUGAGAUCAAACUUGCAACAUUCAUUGUUCAGAAUCAUAAAUUGCACCAUUCUGUCACUCAAGGGUUACCACUAGCAUUAAAGAAUGCCAUCCAGCCAGAAUGACUCCCUGGGACACUAGAAGGAGGAGCACCAGAAGUAGAAGGACCAGAAGAUGAAGCUCCAGCCCCAAAUCUUGCACUACAGGAAACAAGUAAUUUGCCGUCUGUGGAUCACAGACGGCAAAGACCUAAAUCCAGACGGCAAAGACUUUGCCGUCAGGAAGCAGACGUCAAACUCAGACGGCAAAGAUAAGUCGGCAGAGAAUACUUUGCCGUCUGCUUUUCGUCGGCCAGAUGGCAAAGACUUUGCCGUCAGCCAAAUCUGGUUCGCCGCCAGCCUUAUAAAUCACCUACGGCAAAGAAAAGUCCUUUUGCCAUCAGCCAGACUACAUCAUUGCCGUUAGCUAUUCACGGAUUUGCCGUCAGCCUCGUAUAUGACAGACGGCAAAGAAAGGAUCAUUUUGAAAAAAAAACACAGCUUCCCAGGGAUACGGUCAACGCAUGCAGUGCACUACCUAUGUUUCUUCUUCUUUUUUAACGAGGAAAGUCCCAGCCGUCUUUAGUGCCUUUUAUUCAAUGUUAGUCCAGUACAAAAUACAAACAUGAUCCUGAAAAAACUAAUGUUACAGAAUAGUCCUCGAAACUAACACACAGGACCCUAAAAAGCAAAACUAAAAAUCAAUUGGGUCCUUCUCUGUUGUAGUGCUCUGUUCGCUCCGUCGGCGACGCUCAACGCACCGCUCUGUUGUGCUCCGCUCGCUGCACCGUCGUAUGGCCCUGCUCAGCCGCGCUCGGGAGCUGGCUCGCUCCGGUGCUGCGAGGAGGCAUGCGGGGAAGCUCGGGGAUGGGCGGUGCUCGACCGCCGGUGACGGCCCUGCUCAGCCGCACCGCUCUGGCCCAGCCGCGCCGCUCUGGCCCCGCGGCGGACGGAUGGUCUCGCGGGCGUCGGCCGCAGUGUGCGGCUCCUCAGGGACGGACGGGCGCUGGGCUCAGUGUGCGGCUGCUCGGGGGCGCCGGAGGCGCGAUCGGGCAUUGGCCGGCGACGUGGUUCUUCUUGAGGGAUAAGGAGGGAAGAGGGAGCAGGAGAGAGCGUGCAAGAUGGAGAGAGGAGGGAGCACGGGGGAGAAGGAGAUGGACACUAUAGGAAGGGAGGACGAGCGGCAGUUGAAGGGCAGCGGCAGUUGACGAGAAGAGGAGAUCUGGAUCGGGAGGAGGCAUGGGGUCGCGGGCAGGGAGGACGAGGAGGACCCAGUGGCGAGGAGGAGGAGGAUGCCGCGGUGGCCUCAUGCUCAAGCGGCGGCGAGCUCUUGCGGCGCGGCCGGAUCGAAGGGAGGCGGCGGUUGAUGAGUUGGUGAGCUCGGGAUAGGGAGGAGACGGGAGGUCGGGGCACAGAGGAGGAGGAGGAUCCCGCGGCGAGGAGGAGGUGGAGGAUCCCGCGGUGGCCUCCAACUCAGGCGCCGGCGAGGUGGGGUCGACCAGUGCGGGGGCGACGUGGAUCGAGAGAAGGGUGGGCGACAGGCCGGCGCGCCGGAGGAGAUUGGAGGCGGGGGCGACCGCGCUGGAGGNNNNNNNNNNNNNNNNNNNNNNNNNNNNNNNNNNNNNNNNNNNNNNNNNNNNNNNNNNNNNNNNNNNNNNNNNNNNNNNNNNNNNNNNNNNNNNNNNNNNNNNNNNNNNNNNNNNNNNNNNNNNNNNNNNNNNNNNNNNNNNNNNNNNNNNNNNNNNNNNNNNNNNNNNNNNNNNNNNNNNNNNNNNNNNNNNNNNNNNNNNNNNNNNNNNNNNNNNNNNNNNNNNNNNNNNNNNNNNNNNNNNNNNNNNNNNNNNNNNNNNNNNNNNNNNNNNNNNNNNNNNNNNNNNNNNNNNNNNNNNNNNNNNNNNNNNGCCUCCCUGCUCUCCAGCGCCGGCCAUGGAUGUGUGCUGGAUGUGUUGUGUGGUGUGUAGUGUGCGUGGGUGGGUGGGGUGGGGCGUGGGUUAGUGGGUGGGUGGGUGGGCCUCGCUAGGUAGUGCGUGUGUCAGGAUGGGUAGGUGGGGCUGGUGGGUUUUGGAUGGGCUGACACGUCAUCGAUCCGUGGGAUUGAUCCGCGUGAUGUGCUUCUUCUUUGCCGUCUAUGAUUUUUAUUACAGACGGCAAAGAGCAUACUUUGUCGUCUGCAAUAAAAACACAGACGGCAAAGAUCUUUGCCGUCUAUAAUUUUUUAUUACAGACGGCAAAGUGUAUAUUUUGCCAUCUGUAAUGUAAAAUGUAGAUGGCAAAGAUGUUUGCCGUCUGUAUUUUUUCUUGCAGACGGCAAAGUGAGCUCUUCGCCGUCUGUGUUUUUUUUCGCAGACGGCAAAGUAUAUUUUACCGUCAGUUUUUCUUUGCCGUCUAUUGAUGACGGCAAACCCUUUCUUUGCCGUUUUGCCCGAUCACUACUAGAAAAAGGGCUAUAGAUGGGAUUGACACUAAUGGCGCACCAGACAAGUGGUGCGCCAUUAGUAUAUACUAAUGGCGCACCACCUUCUGAUGCGCCAUUAGAGUUGAAACUACUAAUGGCGCACCUGGCACACGGUGCGCCAUUAGUAUCAAUUUUUUUUUGAACUAGUGCGCCUGUCCAAACAUACUAAUGGCGCAUCCACAGGCAGUGCGCUAGUAAUGGCGCACCUGCCAGAGAGUGCGCCACUAAUGUUGUUUUUUUUACUAUUUUUUUAUUCCUUUUUUUGCAAAACUACUAAUGGCGCACUCGCACGCGGUGCACCAUUGGUGUAGUGCGCCAUUAGUAUGUUUUUUUUACAAAACUACUAAUGGCCCACCACCAGGGGGUGCGCCAUUAGUAACCUGGAUUACUAAUGGCGCAUUUGUGGUUGGUGCGCCAUUAGUAAGUGGGCAGCAACAAGAUAUUUUGGACAGCCUCUCCUCCCACACUCACUUUCUCCCCACUUCAUUCUCUCCACCGCCUCCUCCUUGUCUCGGGUGCCUCCUCUUUUUCACCUCAUUUCCACCAUAAAUUCAUUCAAAUUAAGUGGUUAAGUUACCUUGUUUUGCUAGGUAAGUAAGGGCGGAAGCUAUAUUUAUGUUGUUCUCCCUACAACAAUGUGCACAUGCACUUUUUAUGGCCUAGCUAGAUCUAUGUAUGUUCGUGGUGUUGCAUAUGUUUGUGGUUUUGCAUAUGUGUUUGUGUUUGGAGAUGUACCGGUAUUUGAAAUGCGAUAGUUGCCAAUAUUUUGCCGGAAUGUUGAUUCAUUUCCGUUUCGGCGAGAAUUUUGGCAUUAAGCAUUCUUUUUGGUCCUAUUUUUAGGGAAAGUCAUGCCAAAUUUUUUCUUGGUUCUAAAAUAUCGUUUUGCUCUACCCCGCAGGCGACCAUGGUCCGCAUGAUGACCGAAGGCAUUGUGAAUAGGUUUUUGAGGUCCGCGAAGGCCGAGAUGCUUCAAAAGAACGAGACGGAGAUAAGAUGUCCGUGUCGAAGAUGCAAGCUGAAUAGCCUUAUUGCGGACCCGGAUUCCGGGCAGGUGCGGGACCACCUGCUCUUGCGUGGUUUCAUGGAUGGCUAUCGGUGGCAAGGUGAUGAAGAUGACUACGAAGUCGUCCAUGGGGGCCGGGCAAGAAAUGAGGAAGGGCAGCAAGACAACCACCGCUGCUCGGGCGGGCGAGAAGACGAAGAAUCCCCAGGAGAUGAUCACGACAGUGAUGCUGUACACAGUCAUCAUGUAGAAGAAGAUGUAGGACAUGAUGAUGAUGCUGGCGGAGCAGACGAAGCUGGACCAUCGAUGGGCUGGGUGCAGGACCCUCAUAUUCAAGAGCUGCUUCUCAAGCAGACGGAUAACGCAAGAGCUGCCGCCCGAGAGAAAGCCAAGAUGGAUCAACUUGAGUUAGACGCGGUUACUCCAUUGUAUGAAGGAUGCAGGCCCGAGGAUACCCGCCUGAAAGUAACGCUCAUGACUCUGGAGAUGAAGGUAAAACACAAAAUGACCGACGCAUGCUUCGACGAGAACAUGUCAUUCUGGCACGAACGUCUUCCCAAGGGGAACAAGUGCCAGACCAGUUUGGAGGAGGCGAAGAAAAUCGUGUGUCCUCUGGAUUUACCGCACGUGAAAUACCAUGUGUGCAUGAACAAUUGCAUCAUUUAUCGGGACGAGCACGCGGAGUCUACCAUAUGUCCGGUGUGCGGUGUCACUCAAUACAAGAAGAGGAAGAAAGCUCCUCGAAAAGUGGUGUGGUACUUUCCGAUCACUCCUCGUCUGCAGCGGUAUUUCACGGACCCUAAGGUAGCAAAGCUCCUGCGUUGGCACGCGGAUAGGGAGGAGAAGAAGCGAGAAGAUGACGCAAAUGAUCCGGAGAUAGAUAAAAAGACAAGAUGCUGAGUCACCCUAAGGAUGCGAGCCAGUGGCAAGCGUUGAACUUCGAAUACCCAGAAUUUGGGAACGAUAGAAGGAACAUCGUGCUGGGCGCGAGCACCGAUGGAGUCAAUCCGUUUGGCAGCCAGAGAAGCACACAUAGCACCUGGCCUGUGUUCGUGUGGAUGUACAACCUUCCCCCCUGGUUGUGCAUGAAGAGGAAGUACAUUCACAUGAGUAUGCUAAUUGAAGGGCCGAAACAACCAGGGAACGACAUCAAUCUGUAUCUGGGGCUGCUGAAAGAGGAGAUUGACACGCUGUGGAAAACGCCAGCCAAUACGUGGGAUGCCGCAGAGAAAGAAUAUUUCCCUAUGAGAGCCGCACUGCUCACGACGGUGCAUGACUAUCUCGGUUACGGAUAUCUUGCGGGGCAGGUAGUCCACGGAUUUCUGGAUGCGUAAGGUGCAUGGAUGACACAACGUAUCGCCAGCUAGAUAGAGAUCCCAGGUCUUUGAAAACCGUGUUCAUGGGACAUCGAAGGUGGCUUCACGACGAUGACCCGUGGAGGAAACGCAAGGAUCUGUUCGAUGGUGAAACCGAACCCCGAAAACGCCCGUGUACGAGGAGCGGCGAGGAAAUAGACAAGCUGUUGAAAAAUUGGAAAGACUGCCCACUACCGGGAAAGAAGCAAAAGGCGCCAGAGCCGCUGCUGAAGGUAUGGAAAACGAGGUCUGUUUUCUGGGACUUGCCGUACUGGAAGAUCCACCGUGUGCCUCACAGCCUUGAUGUCAUGCAUAUCACGAAGAACGUGUGCGAGAGUCUUCUUGGUACCCUGCUCAACAUGCCAGAGAGGACCAAAGAUGGGUUGAAAGCAAGGGCAGACUUGAAAUCAAUGGGCAUCAGGCAGGAGCUUCACGCUAUAUAUGAUGAUGAUGAUGAUGAUGAGGCGAAGCAGGACACAGAAAGUCGUCGCAAAGGCAAAAAGGCCAAGAAGACCGAAAAUGACUACCCUCCCGUGUGCUUCACUCUAAGUCAGGAGGAGAUCGAGCAGUUUUUCACCUGCCUCCUAGGAGUAAAACUUCCUUACGGUUACGCGGGGAAGAUAAGAAGAUACCUAUACCCAGCGAAGCAGAAGUUCAGCGGGAUGAAGUCUCAUGACUGUCACGUGCUGAUGACGCAGAUACUUCCAGUUGCAAUCCGUGGGAUCAUGGACGCGCACGUCCGUGAAACGCUAUUUGGCCUAUGCAACUUCUUCGACGUCAUCUCUCGGAAGUCGAUUGGCGUGAGGCAACUCAGAAGGCUACAAGAAGAGAUCGUGGUGAUACUAUGCGAGCUUGAGAUGUACUUCCCGCCCGCAUUAUUGGAUGUUAUGGUGCAUCUGCUGGUCCAUAUAGUGGAGGAUAUCAUCCAACUCGGGCCGACGUUCCUGCACAGCAUGAUGCCGUUCGAAAGGAUGAAUGGUGUCAUCAAAGGAUACGUUCGCAACAUGUCACGUCCAGAGGGAAGCAUAGCCAGGGGCUUUCUGACCGAAGAGUGCAUCUCCUACUGCACGAAUUAUCUAGGCAUCGAGAACCCCGUUGGUCUGCCCGUCAACAGGCACCUCGGCAGGCUCGCUGGAUGGGGUCACCGUGAGGGUCGCCGCGAAAUGCAUGUCGACUUCGAGGGUCGACUCGCCGACUUUGAAAGAGCAAACCUAGUCGCGCUACAACACAUAGACGUGGUCGAUCCUUGGGUGGUAGAGCACAAAACCUUUAUUAAGAAGACGUACAAUGACCGAGGCCAACAGAGGACGGACGGAGAUAUACUCAAAGAGCACAACUCAUGUUUCACGCGUUGGUUCAAGCAGAAGCUUCUGUCGUACCCUUUACAUGAGGAUUCUUCCGCGGAAGAACAACUCAUAUUCGCCUUGUCACAGGGCGCCGAGCACAACCUGAUGACCUAUGAGGCGUACGAUUUCAACGGCUACACAUUCUACACCGAGGCCAAGGACAUGAAGAGCGAUGUUUAUCAGAACUCCGGGGUAACGAUGGAAUCCUACACCGGUAACGACAAGGACAUAUACUACGGAAGGAUCGAGGAGAUCUGGGAGCUGAGCUACGCUGGAGAGAAGGUCCCGAUGUUCUGUGUCAGAUGGACCAAGAACGUCACAAAAGAAGACCGGUAUUUCACCACCAUGGUUAUACCCGAAGCCAAAUCCAAGACCGCGGGCGCAAACAUCACCGCAAAAAAUGAGCCAUGGGUACUGGCUUCCCAAGUGGACCAAUGCUUCUUCAUUACCGACCCACCAAAGCCCAGUCGUGUUGUCGUGAGGAGAGGCAAAAGGAAGAUCAUCAGAAUGGAUGGAGUAGCCAAUGAGCAAGACUUCGACAAGUACGGCGACCCGAGGAUCGAACAUGACGACGACGAUGAAGUAGCAGCAUACACCACAAGAAGAAGCAGGACCACCCUACCUAAAGGACGUCCGUUCCAUAGAAGAACUCCAUUUGCGAAAAAGAAGGGCAAGAAGAUUGUGAACAGAUAGCUAGCUAAGAUCGAUUGUAUUUAAAUCGUAGACUUCAUUUCUCGAUUAUAUUUCAUGGGCACUUUUUGAACUAUCAUGAAUAUUUUUUAAUUUCAUGGACACUCGAUCUCGAUCCUCCUCCAUCUCGAUCGCUAUCCCACCUCGCCAAAUCCGGUCCACCGGCCGCCGCCGCCGACCGCCCGCACCCUUCCCAAGUGGACCUCCUGGUGUGAGAACUAGCUACUGACCAGUCGAGCUAGUAGAGAAGACUUGACAUGUAUCAGGUCAGGUGGUAGAUAACUGUUGGCUCGAGCAGAAAUAAAAAAAAUACUAAUGGCGCACCUCACCCUGGUGCGCCAUUAGUAUGUAUGUACUUGUGGCGCACCGAGGGGUGGUGCGCCAUUAGUAUUGUGGCGCCCCUACUUCGUACCGAUCCCCUCUCUCUCCCUCGCCCUCGCCCGCGAUCCCCUUCCCCGAUCUCCUCUCCCGACGCCACCGUCGCCCUGCCCCGACACCACCGUCGCCCCGCCGCCCUCGACGCCACCGUCGCCCCGCCCCGACACCACCGUCGCCCCGCCGCCCCGACACCACCGUCCGUCGCCCCGCCGCCCCGAACCAGGGAGCGGAAGCGCGGCCGGCGUGCGAACGAGCGGAGAAGGCGUCCAUCCUCGUCCUCAACCUGUCGUCGACAUCGUCGAUUCCAGCUCUCGCAGCAAGGUAUGCGGCUGGUUCGUCCCCUGUCAUGGCCAGAUUGAUUUUUUUUCGGUAAACUAGGCUAGGGUUCGAUGGAUUAUGGAGAUUCAUGGUGAUUCAUCAGUGAAUAAAUUCGUUCCAAGAACAAGAUCAUGGCCAUUUCCUGUGCUAGCUAGAGCCGUUGUCAGCCUGUGCAAGGUUCAGAACAAGUUGUCAGCGUCUUUGUGCUCUAUACUUUGUAUGAAAAUAGCAUCGCUAGUAGUAAUCACCGAGGGAUAAAAAAUACGAAUGAUAUUAUAGUUUUUCUAUACUUCAAGUUUCUAUUUUGUAUAUGCUCACCUGCAUCUGCUCCAGUAUAAUGUCUUUGACGUGAUAAUGCAAUUAAAAAGCAAUAUUGGUUGAGAGAAAUUGCUGUACUGGUUAAGACAACUGAUUUUCAUACAAUGGCAGCAGUGCACAAACAGUGUGAGUGGUGUGUACUUAUUUCGGAGAUGAUUGGUGUCGGCUCAGCGGCUGCCAUUUAAUCAAAUCACAAUUCGUAGACUACUGAUUCCUGAACUAUUUAUGUUUUGUUGUUUCAACUCUUGAACUACUUGAUCUUGCAUUUGUGUUUAGCUAGUAGAGUAUAAAAUCCAAAUUCUUAUGACCAGAAGCAUGAAUGGUUGUUUUAAUGUUGCUCUCUGUUAAUGUCACUGAAUCUGAUGCAAAUGAUAAUCUAAGCCCAAAAGAAAAUUUUUCUAAUUCAGUCAACGUCGAGCUACUGUUCUCUGCUCAUGUGGAACAUUGCGUUACAUUUUUGCAUCUUUAGAAGUGCGGUUGUCCAUGGCAUGGAGUUUUGUACUGUUGUUAAGGUUCAGGACAAGCCCGUGACUAUCGUGUUUCUAGUAGCUAAAAUCUAUUUGUUCCUAUCGGCAUUGGCUUGAUUGUUCUAAAACUCAGAACCUGUUGCACAAUGACAUUAUUUGUAACGGCAGCAUGAGACGAGGAAGAUUUUGGUUUCUUGUUCUGUAUUAAUAACUUCCUAUAAGCAAUGCACCUCUGAUGAUUUUGUCAAAAGCGUGUCGAGUCGAUAUUCUCAAUAUAUUAUUCUUUAUCAGUUUACAAGUUGAUUAAUUUCCUCUGAUUAUUCUCAAAUUCUUGAAUUAUUUGUAAUGUCUUGCAGAAUUAUUUGUGCCUUUGUUUUUUCCUAAGUUUAGGAUGCACUCUGUUAGGUUUUAGAAAAAGUAGACGAGAGAGAUUAAAGGGGUUGUGACAAAUGCUCCUCCGUCCUGUAAUGUGAUACAUUUUUUUGACAGUGUGUCGAAAUGUCUUGCAUUAUGGGAUGGAGGGAGUAUUUGUCAGGUAUGUGACAUACUUCUCCCGUAAACGUCAGGUAUGUGACAUUAUGGGAUUAGGGGUUACAAAAAACAUCAGUUACAAAGAAGUUCAGAUUGUAAAAUGUUCAUUUUGCAGCUAGUGCCCAUUUUGAGUAAUUGCUUAGAGGGAUGAUCCUGUGUGAGCUGGUGGAGUGAUUUGUUUUCUACAUAAAGCUCUUUAGUCAAGCUGGUUUUCGUGAAAUACACAUGAAGCUUCACCAGCUCCUGUGGGUGUGGGAUCCAUGUGACAUGUGACAUUGCAUCCAUGUCCACCUGGGAUAAUGAUUUUGCAGGUACCCCGAGAGGCCCUUGAGUUUGCCGGAAUGUCGAUUAACUUCCGUUCCGGCAAAUUCGGGUACUCCAUAUGUCCUAUUUUCAGCAAAGGUCAUGCUGAAAUUUUCCGUGAAUUUUAGCAUGACUUUGCUAAAAAUAGGACAUAUGGGGUACUUGUGACUAAUGCAUGGGCCGGGGUAUCGUAGUGGUUAAUUAAGUAGGAUCAAGUGCCCCGGCGUACUUGUGACUAAUGCAUGGCUUUUAGGGUGCCUCGGUGUCGAUAAAAACCGAAAUGAUGAAAGCUUAGGCUUUUAGGGUGCCUCGGCGUCGAAAAACCCUCAAUGAUAAAAGCUUAGAUUUUAGGAUGCCUCGGUGUCGACAAACCCUAAAUGAUGAGACCAUGAUCUUGUUCGUUGACAAUAACCAACUUUUUGACCAAGCUUUGUUUCUAUUUAGAGAGAAACAUGGCCCACAACGAUGAGGCCGGGGGUUCGGGCGGCAAGGCAUUCUGGGAGCUGUCCCAGGAGAUGGAGGAACAACCUCACUUGUAUGAGGCCGCCGCCUUCCCCACCGAUCCUGAACCAUGGAUGGUGCCGCCGAGGAUGACCACACUGAUGCCACCACUGAUGGUGCCGCCGAGGAUGCCACCACUGAUGAUGGCGGCGCACGCACAGAUGGCAGCCAACCGAAGAGGCAACGGAAGGACCGACGCCCGACCGUGCUCCGCACCCUCAAGGAGGAAGUUACUGAAGUGGACUCCAACGGGAAUCCAACGGCACCCGAACGAAUAGUCAAGGGGUACUCGCUUCAGCUCGGGUGCAUUGUCCGGAGCACCGUCUCGAUCAACACCGAGAACCUGAGGCAUCCUGACAGAGGGAAUUUGCGCAACCUCCUCUUCACGAAGCUGCACGAACGAUACAAGUUCCCCGCUGAAUUUGCAAACACAAGCCUCAAAGGGAAUAAAGUGAACAAUGCUGCCCUCACGAAGAUGAGCAAGGCCCUAUCUACUUGGAAAAGCAAUGUGCAAAGAAUGAUCGAGAAGGUGAGAGUUAUCAGAAGAUCAAGGAGAAAAAUCCUUCGAUCACCGAAGAUGACUACAACGACUUCAAGAUCAAUUGCUCGAGCACCGCAAACUCCCAAUCAAGUGAGUGGGGGAAACAAAUGCGGGAGCUGAACAUAGGGGAACACACACUCAGUCCUGGCGGUUACAGAGUGGCGGAGCCUAUAUGGGACAAGGAGGAGGCGGACCGUGCCGAGCAAGGCCUACCUCCCCUCUUCGAUAAAUACGGUGACAAGCAGACCAGGAACUUUGUCAGGGCCCGGUACAAGAAGGACCCGAAAACAAAGGAGCUUACCACGGAUCCGAAGACCAGGCAGCUUGAGCUUAUUCUGGUAAGGAAUACACCCCCGCGUAAUUAGCUCCAUAUGGUUGCAUUCUAAUUAAUGAAGCCAAAUUUCUAAAUGGUUCAUAUUCCUUCCGCAGGCGACUGAAAGCAGUAGCGCUGGGUCGACUAAGAGCAACCCUUGGGACACCACUCUAAAUAGGAGGUUGAAUGUAAUGAAGAACAAGGAUAAGCUUAGUAAGACGACGUCAGCUGGUCGUGUGGCCGGCAAAGGCUUGUCGACAAAAUGGGGGUCAUACUAUACCGCUGGUGUGCGGAAUGAGAAAAAGACCAGCUUGGAAAGCCAGGCGCGAGAGGUUCAAGAACUCAAGGCACAGGUGGCGCGGAUUUCGGAGAUUGUCCAAGAGCAAAUGGAACAACGACUCGGAGCGACGAUCACCGCCAUUGUGCCUACCUUGAUCUCGGGGUUGAGUGCGUGGAUUGCGGGCGGCCAACAGGGGCCGCCCCCGAUUCCUAGCUUCACGGCUAGCAACUCGCAUAAUGCGAUGGCGGGGCCAUUGGUGCCUCCGGCGGAGGCGGCAUUGGUGUCUCCGACGCCGGCACGGGAGCUUAAUGCACCCGGGUGUACGCCGGCCGGCACCUCUGCAGCAAGCGGCCCCUCCGUCAACUGCACGCCCGCCGUUGGCGGUGCCUCUACAUUAGCCGAGCUCGACGCCAUCAUCACAGUAACUAAUUAAGCCUCUCUCGGCCGAGGACUUCAUCUCCUUGCCUUUGAGUGGGCAUACCUGACGCCCUACAUGUUUUCGCAGGGCGCCGCCGACGUUCCGUGCACUCUCCUCCACUUCGUGAACAACGAGUUGGUCGAUGUCACCAAGGGCAAAAUAGUUCAACCAGGCAACCCCUUGUUCCACGGUACCCAGAUGCCACCCAACUUGUUUAGGGAUCAACUGGUUCGGGUGCUGCCAGUCUGCGACGAGUUGUUACCUCCGAUUCGACCCGUCGGGGCCGACGAUGAUUACGUGAUGACCCUCAGCGCAUGCUUGAGCUGGCCCCUGCUUUGGCCAAAGAGCCAGAUUCGUUUGGGGGCGGGGGACACCACCCCAAAGACAACACCGCCAGUCGUGCCGGCGCCAAGUCGGCCCCAUGGCAAGACCGCCGCAACGGUGCCGGACAUCCCUAUGCCACUGGAUCCAAACAUGCAUAUGGCACAGGAUCAGAACGACGACGACAACGACGAUGAUACAUUUGGCAACGUCGAUCAGUACUUUGCCGAUCAUGGGUACGAUGGCGACUUCAUGGGGCCUCCUUGUCAAGAACCAAACCCAACAAAAGACGUGUGCGAUCUAGCUCGUACCGCGGAGAAGCCAAGUUGCAACAGGCGCCAUCUGGCGUUCAGCUCUCAGGAGACGCCUCCAGCUGCCGACUUCACCGAGCCUCAGAUAGGCGAGGUGCGAAAUAUUAUCAGCCCCAACACACUCAAGAAGGCGGUCUGUGAGCAAAACUCGGUCCCAUUACAGGAGAAGAAGAAGGCACGCAAAAGAAAGACUAAGAAGGGUGCGAGCCAGCCAGCACAGAGUACGAUCCGUGCUCAGGACGGGCCACUUUCACCGCAGGAUAUCUCGAGGAGGGUGCAUGUGGCGGGUAGGGCGAUGCUACCGACAAAUAUGCUCAAUGCUGCAACCGGUGCUAUGCGGAGUCUGCAUGACAGUGUUCUUUCUUUGGAGAAGCGGCGUUUCAGGGAGAAGGAUGUGGCAUACCCAGUUUUCGCGGCCAAGGUGCCAGAGGGCAAGGGCUUUGUGGAUAACUCCAUCGGGCGUACGAUCGUCCUGCGUUUUGAUGACAUCCACGCUAUGUUGAACCUUCAUCCGCUGCACUACACCUUCGUUCGGCUAUUUUCGCUGAGUAUGGAGAUGCGGAUCAUUCGCGACAAGACCCCGGACAUCGUGAUAGUCGACCCCUUCUACAUGCGUGCCAAGAUCUUGGGCAGCGCUGGGGACCGGCAAGUCACGAGUUCUUACCUCGAAGGCGUCAUUCUGGCAAACCAAGAUAAGGAUAAAUUCCUCGUGCCUUACUUUCCCGAGUAAGUCCUCCCCUCAACCGGCCCAUAACAUAUGAAUUCUUACAUUUCGAUCGUUUUUCUUUUAACAUUCCGUAUUUUCUGCAGUGACACAUGUUGCACGCUCAUCCUCCUAAGCCCCAAAUAUUCCAUGGCCACGUAUUUCGACCCGGACCGUCAGUCGAACGUAGACUACACAAAUGUCAAGAAGGUUCUUGAUGAUGUUCUCCCCGGCUACGCCAAAUCUGGAGGCACCUUCACCAGGCCUAUUCGUAAGUACGGCAAACACGUGUUCUCCCACAAUACGACGUUCUGCUGCGUCAAGCAGCCGCCUGGCGGUCAGAAGGGUGCCUACUACGCCAUCCAUCACAUGCGGGCGAUCGUACGGGACCAUCAUCAACUUCUGCUACCGAGUAAACUCAAAGAUUGGGCAAAGAGCGUGUCGGCAAUCCAGGACGCGGACCUCCGACAAGAAUUCUUUCGCAUCCAGUCGGAGUUUGCGGAAAUCAUCCAUCAAGAUGUCCUUCGUACCUCGGGGCAGUUCUACCUCAACAAUCAACCGUCCAACAGUGACAUCGACACAAUGCUACAAAUGCAGGCUGACAACGACAGUUAUUUCAUGACUCCCACGAUAGACGGCGGCUUCAUCCACGCUCCGGUCCCUUGAGUCGAGUCGAAAGCAGUGAUGCUGUGUCUAGUUCUGAAACAUCGAUUGGCUCAUGUUGUAAUUAAACUUUAAUGAACUUGUAGUAUGUCUCUUUGGUUUCGAGAGUCGUUCAACUUAGAUGUAAUCGAUGCUAUUAAUGUCUUGCUUUUCUCUUCCGAUCAUUCUGUUGCAUACUUAUAUAUUGCUUAUGUAUUGUCUGUGAAUUGGUACUAACGUUUCGUUUAGCUAGUGCAUAGCGAUGUCGACGUAUGUCGUGUACAAGGGUAAGGUUCCAGGAGUCUACGAUGACUGGGAGGAGUGUCGGAGACAGGUUCACCGAUUCAGCGGUAACAGUUACAAAGGGUACACCACUAGGGCCGAGGCCGAAUCUAGAUACGCCCGCUAUCUAGCAGGAGAGGGGAGGGAGCGUUGGAGGAACCGGAUGAAGACGAGUUUCAUCGUGAUGAUGCUCAUCGUGAUGACCGCAUCUCUCUUCCACGUGAUGGUAGUUUAGAUGAUUGAUAUCGACUUGUAAUGUGAAGACAAACUCGCUACUCACGGUCUCGAGACUUGUAAUAUAAUGUUCUAUCUUUGUUCGGUCUUUUCAAUUCGGAGACUAAUAUGAUGAAUUGUAUUCGGAGACUAAUAUGAUGAAUUGUAUUCAAAGACUAAUCUUCUAUUGUAUUCGAUGAAUCUGUUGUUGAUGUGUGCUGUCUAUAUUUUGUCAAGUUAUACAUUUUGUAACCUGUGCAAAAAAUAGAAAAUAAAAAAUAAAAAAACCUAAUAUUCAUACUAAUGGCGCAUCACAUGACAGUGCGCCAUUAGUACGACAAAGCAUACUAAUGGCGCAUCACUGGGCAGUGCGCCAUUAGUAUGCCGCGGUUACUAAUGGCGCAUCUCGUGGUCGUGCGCCAUUAGUAUGCCAAAGCACCUGGGUAUACAUGGCCCCUGGGAGGCAUACUAAUGGCACACCGUAGCCUAUACUAAUGGCGCACCAGUGGUGCGCCAUUAGUAAAAAUUACUAAUGGCGUGCUAGUAAUGGCGCACCAGUGAUGCGCCAUUAAUGGCCAAAUUAGGUGAGCCAUUAGUAGCGGUUUUUUUAGUAGUGGAUGAAAAGCUGACGGCAAAUUAGCUGUUUCCCGUAGUGUUGGGGAAGUGAAAGGCCUUGGAACACUUGCACUAGUUGACCUUCUUGCAGAUCUGGCAGUAGCGUAUCUGGCAGCAGCAGAUCUUGCAGUAGGAGAUUUUGCUGGUGGCUGCUGUGAUCUUGAUGGUGGCUGUUGUGAUCUUGAUGGUGGCUGUUGUGAUCUUGCUAAUGGAGUAUCUUUAUUCCUUGAUCUUGCAGGUGCCUUGCAAACAUAAGAGGAAACAUGGUAGUUAGUCAGAAGGGUUUAGCACAUAAAACUUGAAAGAUGCAAACCAAUUAACAAUUAGCAUUAACAAGGGUUUACCACAUGCUUGUUUUUUCUCAUAGCCAACUCAGGUCUUAACUGUUGCUUGCAGUUGGUGUACCUAUGGCCUUGGAGCCCAUAGUUGCUACAUGUUAUAGUGGCCAUUCUUGAACCGUCCUUUGGUUUUGGAACCUCAAAUCUGCCCUUUAUUCUCUUCUCUUUCCUUCUUCCCUUCUUCACAUGAAAUUUGGGUGGCUCUAUGUCUGGUCCACUUGUCAUGGUCCAAUCAUGUUCACCAGGAACUGUAUAUAUCAUUGGCUCAUAUGCACCUAGGUAAAAAGGUUUUUUGAAGAAAUUGCACACAUAGUCCUCUGGAAAUCUUUUUGCCUUAUUAAUUGUUGAUAUUGCAUGGUUGCAUGGUAUGCUAGACUGGUCCUACUUUCUGCAGCCAUAUGUAUAAAGUUCCAACUUUACAGCAUGUGUUUGCUACCCACUGGCACUCACCAAAGAUUUACACCAGCUUGAAUAGGUUUGCAGAAUCUGGCCCUUUCCCUUUCCACCUCUAGCUUUUCAGCAUAAUGUGGUGUGAUCUCCCAUAGAAAUACCUUUCCUCUCUCUCUAUUCCUAUGCCACCUCACCAUCUGCAUGUCCUUAAUACCAUCAAUCAUUGUCCUAAUAGGUUUUUUCCUAAAAUCUAGGAGGUACUUGUUGAACACCUCAGACAAGUUGUUAACAACCAAGUCUGUCUAGCAGUUAGUGUCAAAAUCAUGCCUAGCCCAUGUGUGCUUAGGUAUUCCACUUAGCCACUUCCAAGCUUCCACACUCUCAUUUUUAAGGUCAUUCAUGGCAAUGUUAAACUUGUGCUGGUUAUAAGCAUAGCCGGCAUUAUCCAUGCAUUUCUUAAGAUCUUUCCCCCUAAACCCAUCAUUCUGGAAAUUUGCAUAGAGGUGUCUAAGGCAAAAUCUUUGAUGGCACUUUGGAAAAAGCUUGAUUUACUGCAUUUAGUAGCCCCUAUUCACAUAGCAUCCUAGAGUUAGCUGUUGUACUACUACACCUAGAGCAUAACAUGCUAAUGCAGAAGAACAUAACAGGAAGAACAUAAUAGAAAGAUGCAUGCAUAACUUCUGUCUAUCAGACAUGAUAGUAUAAACGCCAAAUUUCCCAACUUCUUCUCCUAGACACAUCUGCAGUUGGUGCAGAAACCAACAACAGUUAGCUAUGUCCUGUUGUCCAACAAUAGCAAAUGCAAGUGGGAAAAUAUUGUUAUUGCCAUCUCUUCCAGUGGCAGCAAGGAUUUGAGCACCUGUGGUGAGCUUAAUAAAGCAUCCAUCAACACAUGUUGUUGCAACCAAAGAACAAUUUUAGUCACUAUAUAUGAUCCACUUAAAGUCACUAUAAAGCACUAACUGAGCUCCUGAGCUAACAAUACUAUAUAUUUAAGUCACUAUAAAGCACUACUAAACAAUGAAAAUUUGUGAUUUACAAUAACAAAGAUUUAAAAAGUUGUCAUAUAAUACAAGGAAGGCAUAACUAACCAAUGAAUGGUUUGCAUCCAUUGAUAAAUCCCUCCCUUGCUCCAUUUAUGCAGAAAAAGUGGUCCUGGAUGUGGUAUUUUAGUAGGUUUUGGAGUAACUACUAUAACUACAACUCUACUGCCAGUUUUGUAUCCAUGAUGGUCUGAGUAUAAUCCUAAGUCCAGGAUACUAUUUCCUGUGCUCUCCUAGCACAACUUAUACAACUAGGUAUUUGGCCCUAUAGGCCAUGUGCCUUGGCACAUCAACACCAUACUUCUCAUUUGCAGUUGUCAAACAGAGUGUGUAUGCUAGUGGUUGGAUCUGACCUGAACAAUGACUCAUAGGUCUUUGCAAGCCACUUUGCACUAAUCCUUGAUGUCUUUGUGCUGCUAGGGCAAGUGUGCUCCAGCUUAUUUUCUUAAUAGCAAAAGUCUUCCCCCCUUUGAUAACUGCAGCAACUAUGCAAAACUGGCAGUGCUCUUGCUUACAACAGUCAAUUAUCCUUUGGUCUGGUUUUCCUGUGAUACCUGAAGUCUCGGGCCUGUAUGAUGUGCAAGCUCAACCCUAGGAUCCUGCCCUAGCCACGCCCCCUUCCUUCUUAGGCACGUGGGAGGAAGGCAUGACGGUUGCCCCCCCCCCUUACCUUUCUCUCAUGUGGAGGGAAGGCAAGAGCGCUAGCUAGCCCUCCCCUUUUCCUUCCCUAGGGCCGGCGGCCUAGAGGUGGGGUGCAUGGGCCCCUUGUGGGCUGGUGUGCUCCCUUCGUUUGGGCCAUACGGCCCGAUAACCUCCCGGGGCCCCUCGGAACCCCUUCUGGUGAUGCGAUGAAUACCCAGUACAUUGCGACACCUUUCCGUUCACCAAAUAGCAUCGUACUAUAUAUCAAUCUUUACCUCCGGACCAUUCCGGAGCUUCUCAUCAUGUCCGUUAUCUCAUCCAGGACUCCAAAACAACAUUCGGCCACCAAUUCACUAACUCAUAUAAUACUACAUCGUCAAUGAACGUUAAGUGUGCGGAUCCUAUGGGUUCGAGAAUGAUGUAGACAUGACCGAGAUGCUCUCCUAUCAAUAACCAAUAGCGGAACCUGGAUGCCCGUAUUGGCUCCUACAUAUUCUACGAAGAUCUUUAUCGGCCGAACCUUUAUGUCAACAUACGUAGUUCCCUUUCUCUGUUGGUAUGUUACUUGCCUGAGAUUCGAUCAUCGGUAUCUUGAUACCUAGUUCAAUCUCGUUUCCGGCAAGUCUCUUUACUCGUUCCGUAAUACAUCAUCAUGUAACUAACUCAUUAGUCAGUUUGCUUGCAAGGCUUCCACUACUAGGGAAAGGCCUAGCAGUAGCGCGGGUUGCAGCGCUACUGGUACGGCGCUACAGCUAAAGGCUAGCAGUAGCGUGGGUUGACCCACGCUACUGCUAUAUCCACUUAGUAGUAGCACUUCCUAGAAAGGGCGCUACUGGUAGUUACUAGUAGCGCUUCUCGCAGCCCGCGCUACUAAUAUUAUUCCGUAUUAUAUUUCUUUUUUAUUUCAUGUUGUAUUCAUACACCUUUAUACAAGUUUUCAUACAACACCAAUUUAGAGCUUGUUUUUACAUCAUAAUGAGUUAUUACAUCACUGGGUGAAAGAACCGUGGACUAGUUUCAAGUGGAUGGACAUCCACUUGAAACUAAUCUGCGGUUCUUUCACCCAAUGAUAUAAUAAAUAGCAUCAUCAUCAUCAUAUCAUUAAUAACUUAUCAACAUAAUACAUCAUUGUCAUAUAACACCUCCUCAUGAUCAUCGUUUUCAUCAAUGAGACAUCACAUAGCAAGUUGGUCACUAGUCAUAAUCACAACUACUACUCAUCAUCAACUCUAACACAUUGUACCAUAUAAUAAACAUUGUACCUCAUCGGACCUACUCCAUUCUCUUAGGACCUACUACAUUCUCUUAGGUAAAAUAGCAUAAAACAAGAUAGGCACUGACUCUCCAUUAUGGAGAAUGGAGAUUAUCCUGUCUCCAAUUCUUGCCUUUUGCACAAUGUUGCUUCCAAUAACCUCCCUACGAAUGACCAUACAUUUUUGCCAUUCUUUGAUUAUCAUGUCUUCACCGGUUUUAGAAAUCCGAUAUGGACAGGUGUGAUUCGUAGGACGACAUGGCUGUAUGUUGAAAACAUCAAGGCGACCAUUCUGAAACAUCAGAUGAGGCACACAAUCGUUCGGGAUUUUUUGUUGAAAAACAUAGUAAUAACUUCGUAGUUAGCAAUGUAGUUCAGUUUUAAAAGUAUGCAAAAGAUGCACUGAUGUCAUAAUAGUAAAAAAUCUUACCAUGGCAUCUCCAUGGAUGUUAACGAAGUUCAACACGUGCACUAGUGUCAUGUAUUGACCAUAAUGGAGAGGCGUUUGAUAAUAGAUAUUGUAAUUCUCAAGAUCAGUACAAAAUGCAAUCAGAUGAUUUUUCUCCUAAUAAGUUAAUUCGGAGCCAUGGGUGUAGUAGGUUAUGUCUACCGUCUUCCGCAUAUUGUUUGAAGAAUGAAAGUAAGCUGUCAAUGGAAAUAAGCUGUCAACUAUUUUCAAAUAAACAAUAUAAAUUAGUUAAUAACUAUGUUUGAGAAACUCACAUAGCGGUAGAAUUGGAAGAGUAUCAACAAGGACCCAAAUGUCCAUAUUGUCUUGGUCGAUGUCAGGAUCGCCAAGAUCCAUGGUGACAAGCGUACCCUUAUAAAAACCAUACAUCUUGCAAAGUGCUUCCUAAUUUUCAACCAAAAUGGGUUACACUCUCAGAAUUGUACAGAUUUACUUCAAAGUCCAUACCAUGAUGGGUUCUUAGGUGAUUUUUCUUUGUUUCGAAACUUUCAUGGUCUUCAAAAUCCAUCCUCUCCAAGACAUAGCUUCUUGCAUGGCAUGUGAUAAGAUAGUUGAAUUGUAAAAGAUGAAAAUUACACAUUGAAAUAGUUGAAGUAGUGCUUAAUUAUGAAAAAAACACUUGUCAUCGUUGCGUACCGUUUCAACAUCGAAGGUCUCCUGGAGCUUAAUGCUGAAGCGCCGAUCUUUGUCCAUGUGAGGCCUGUCGCACAGACCUCGGUCGUUGUUGCACCAGUCGCACUCCCCUAGGAGACUUCCGUCGUCCGAUGACGACAUUUCCUAUGUUCAUAAUUCAAAGAUUAAACUUGUACAAUUAAAUAUAUGUAGUACAAAAACUAAAUAGAUCAUUAUUAUUCAUCACGGGUUGACUAUGGGUCUGCCGAGUCUUUUCUUGCAAACUCUCAGCUCACGUGGUGUAUACAUUCGACCGUUGGUGAUGAUCGCUCCUCCUUUCGUCCCCGAGUGCAUUACACCAAAAUGUCUAGCACACGGGAACGAAGGAUAAGCGACCCCCAUGACAACAGUCGGGAUUCUUCGUCCUCUCAUAUAUGGUGGAGCCUCGACAGACUUAAAGUCAACCCAAAAUGUCGUUUAAUUAUCUUUCUAGAAAAUCCGGGCCACUCGAUAUUUUCUACAUAUUCUAGCACAAGUCGUGCCAAAAUUCACGAAAAAAUCCGCCAUGACCUUUGCUAAAAAAGCACAUAUCGAGCGCCUGAAAUUUGCCAGAAUGGAAAUUAAUCAACACUCCGGCAAAAUAUAGGCCACUCGGAGGUGUAACCUGCAAACAUGACCGGCCACUUGGCCAAGCACAUAUCCUAUUUGAGCAACACAAGAUAUACAUGUUUUUAUCUACAUCAUAUGAGCAUUCAAACUAGAUGGUCAUUGCAUUUCAAUGGUUGAAAAUAUGAACAAAAAGAUUUCAAAAUAUCUUAUAGGACUCAUAUUGACAUGGAGAUUUGGCUGGUCUCACCUCGAGUUCGGAGGGGGUCGGUGACGGGGACGAUGGCGGGAUGAUGGAGGGGCUCCUGGAUUUCUGCAAAAACAAAAGCCCUAUAAGCUAUCAACUAAUCAAAUGCAUACACCUUGCAUAGUGGAGGUUCAAUUUGAGCAUUCAAGAUAGGAGUACUUCUCCAAUUUGAGCAUUCAAUAAGCAAAACAAAAUCGUAAAAUAAAUAAGUAUUCAAAUUAGCAUGCAUUCAAUAAGCAAAACUAAAUCAUCUCUUGCAUCCGUACAUCGUCGAAUAUUAUCAAUAAUACAUCUCGAAGAGUAUCAUACAUAUAACAUCACUAAUACAACUAAAACCAUAGCGAACGACGGGUAUCGGCGCGGGCGGUGGACACCCAAAGAGAAGCAACCAUCACAGGAUCAUAGCUCCAGUGAGAUCCCUGAAGAACCUGCCAGGUAUUGGAGAACCUGCCCUCCGACGCAACCAUGUAGCGACGGACGUGCUCAUCCUCCUCGCUGACAUGGUGACGUACCACCUCCGCGGGGUCCUCAAGCCUCUGCACUGUCACUAGCCCACGCGACUGCCACCAAACAAGGUUCGGGUCAACGACGGGCUGGCUCCUCACCAAUCUGCGUCCCUGGUAGGUAGCACCUCUCAGUACUAGCCCAGCGGAGACCAGUCUCGGACAUGGCCCCUCUGAUCAAGCAGGUGUCCUCCGCCGAGUCGACAAGGAGGAUGCAGGAUAGGCAUCGUCGACGUCGAUGCGGCAAUAAUUGCUUUAACUAAAAAAAUAACAACUAAACAUAAAUUUUCUUACUAAAAAUAAACUAGUUAUAUUAAUUCAACUAAACACUUACUAUAAAUAAAAAUAAACUAGUUCUUACUAAAAAUAAACUAGUUUAACUAGUUCUAUUAAUUUUCUUACUAAAAAUACACUAGUUCUAUUAAUUCAACAAGUUCUUACUAAAAAUAAACUAGUUCAACUAGUUCUAUUAAUUUUCUUACUAAUUCUAUUAAACAUUACUGCCCUAGUUCUUAAGCAUCUACAAGUACUAACUAAUUAGAUGAACCUUGCCUAGGAACUACUGCCCUAAUUAGCAUCUAAUUUUGAUGAAACUUAACUAAUUUGAUGCACUCUCAAAUUUGAUGAACCCUCGGAACCCUAGCUAGACCGAGGUAGGGGAGGAGGAGGAGGAGGUGUAGGCGUGCUCACCUCGGGUGCCAGCGGGGUUAGGGAGCGGUCGAGGGAGAGGCAGGCGGCGUUGAGGUCGGGGUCGGGGCUCGGUCGCGUGGCGGAGGGCGGCGAUGUAGGGCGGCGUUGAGGUCGGGGUCGGGGGCGGUGUCGAGGGCGUGCGAAGGGCGACGGGAGAGCGCGGGGCGGCCGACGGCGAUGCAGGGUGAAGACAGAGACGAGAGCAGAUGAGUUCGAUUUGGGGGAAGUGGCCGUGGGGAAGAAGAAGCGCGCGGUUAAGUGAAAAGUAGCAGUAGCGCGUUCCAGGAAAAGUGCUACUGCUACAUUAGCUAUAGCGCUGGCUGACAAAACGCGGUACUGCUAAGUUAGCUAUGGCGCUUGUCCUGAAAACACGCUGCUGGAACGCCUUUCUCCUUUAUUUUCCUUUUUCAUUUGUUUUCCUUCACAUUUUAUCUUUUUCCUUCCCCUUUUUCGAAUUUUUUCAUUUUCAUUUACUUUUCUAUAUGUUUUCCAUUUUAUUUUCCUUUCAUUAGCAGUAGCGCUUUUUGCGUGAAACACGCUGCUACAACAACCUUAGCAGCAGCGCGCUUCGCUUAAGCUCGCUACUACUAAUGGUAGCCUGGCGAGAACAGUAGGGGAAUUGACCUUAGCAGCAGCGCGCUUCGCUUAAGCUCGCUACUACUAAUGGUAGCCUGGCGAGAACAGUAGGGGAAUUGUAGUUGUAGUGCUUCUUCCAUACGCUACUACUAUAAACUUAGCUACAGCGCAUUUCUUUGGCACGCACUAGUGGUAAGUAAUAGUAGCGCUUGUUUUUGCCCCGCGCUACUGGUAAGAUUAUGUAUAUAAGAUUUUCCCUAGUAGUGUUCUUGUGAUGUGUAUUACUGAGACAGCUCUAGAGAUACCUCUCCGAUACUCGGAGUGACAAAUUCAUACUCGAUCUAUGCCAACUCAACAAACACCUGUAUAGCAUCUUUAUGAUUGCCCAGUUACGUUGUGACAUUUGAUAGCUCACAAGGUAUUCCUCCGAUAUCCGGGAGUUGCAAGAGUUGAGUGACUGAACUCAUCGCUCACUUGUAUUCACAUAUCGCAGGGGUAUUUAUACAUGAAGAGGUACAAGGGGGCGAGGGAGAGAACGUGUACAAUGGCUUUGGCCGAGCAUGUCGUGCAUGCGAGGUGGGCGUGCCCACGAUGUGCACGCCCCUGCUGCACUGACGGAGAGAACAGGUCAAGGCCGUUGGCCCUCUGCUGGUGUGCGUGUAGUAGACUUCCAACAGGCCCCCGCAGCCGAAACGUGGGGCUCCCGAAUAUUGAGGUCGGUCGGGAAGUCAAGGAAGAUGCUCGUCGGCAGCCCUUUGGUGAAGACGUCGGCGAACUGAGAGCUCGUUGGGACAUGGAGGACGUGCACUUUGUACGCUGGUGCUGGACAGGGUUGGUGGACAUGUGCAUCACACUCACGUUGUCGCAAUAGACAACAGUGGCACGCUCCGGGGGUUGAUGAAGCUCGCCAAGGAGUUGUCGCAACCAGACGGCUUCGGCGACGGCGUGCGCGACGGCGCGGUACUCGGCCUCCGCUCUAGAACAUGAGAUGGUGUGUUGCCGCUUCGAGGACCACGACACAAGGUUGCCGCCGAGGAACACAUAAUACCCCAAAGUGGAGCGGCGUGCGUCCGGGCACCCUGCCAAGAUGGUGUGGUGCCACGGAGGUAGCGCAAGAUGCAUUUGAGGAGCUCAAAGUGCGAGUCGCGUGGAGCGUGCAUGAAGAGACAACAAUGCUAAACUAUGUAGGAAAGGUCAGGGCGUGUGAGAGUGAUGUACUGUAGUGCACCGACGAGACUUCUGUAUUGUGAAGGAUCAUGGAAUAAUGGGCCGGCAUCUGCUGGAAGUUUUGCAUGUGUGUCCACUGGAGUGGGUAUGGGUUUGCAGUUUAGCAUCCCUGCCCGAUCAAGUAUCUCCAAGGCAUACUAUUCCUGUGAAAAAAACAGGCCAGCAGUAGUGGAGGUGAGAUUAAUGCCAAGAAAAUGAGGCAGUGACCCGAGGUCGGACAUGGCGAAUUCCUGGUGGAGUGAGGAGAUGAUGGACUAUAGUAGAGAAGUGGCGCUCGCGGUGAGGAUAAUGUGAUCCACAUACAACAGCAGGUAAGCUAGCUGUGUGCCACGAUGGAGGAUAAACAGAGAAGAGUCGGACCGAGAGGCCACAAACCCGAGCUGUAGCAGGUACAUGGUGAACCCGGAGAACCAUGCCCGCGGCGCUUGUUUCAGCCCGUACAGUGAGCUGUUCAUGCGGCGCACACAUGUGGGGUUGGUGGUGUCGACGGAGCCGGAGGGUUGCUGUGCGUAGACUGUCUCGCCGAGGUGCCCAUGCGAGAAGGCAUUCUUGACGUCGAGCUGGUGGAUCGCCCAAGAACACCCGGCGGCGAUGCUGAGCACGGUGCGGAUCGUCGCCGGUUUGACCACGGGACUGAAAGUCUCGCCGUAGUCGAUGCCGGCUUGCUGCGUGAACCCUUGGAGCACCCAACGAGCUUUAUAGCAAGCCAGGGAGCCGUCUAGAUGAAAUUUAUGCCGGUAUAUACACCUUCCUGUAACCACGUUAGAACCUGCAGGACGAGCAACCAAAUCCCAAGUGUUAUACUGCAAAAGCGCGUUAAACUCCUCUAGCAUAGCACGGUGCCAGUUGGGAUCUUUCAAAGCCACUCGGUAGGAAGAGGGGAUAGGACUAAUGGCGGAUGACGCAGAGGCAUGCAGGCUGAGCUGAUUUUUGGGAAGAAGGAAUCCCGAAUUGGCACGGGUGCGCAUAUUGUGCAGAUUAGCGAGUGGGUCGAUAGGAACGGCCCUGGGCGGGAGUUUCAGGACAGGUGGCGCUGGGUAGCUGGUCGAGGCGAUUGGCAUGGGGUCAGCACGGCUGGAGGCCGGAGUGGUGGCCUGAUCUGUCGGGGCGUCGGGUGGCAUGGCGCUAGCUGGCGAGCGUGGGGUGGAGGGAGGGCUGAUAGCGCGGAUCCCGCGGGCGGCUGGUGAGGUGCUUGGGCGACGUAGUUUGGUGCUGGGUGCAGCUGGAUUCGAGGAAGAUCCUCUGCGGGGCCAGUACGAGGUAGGUAAGUGCGCCGCUCGGGGAGGAUGUGUUCGGUGAGAUCUUCUGCGGCCGCGUGAUCCGGGGAACGAGGCUGAGGUGGGUUAACGAACGGAAAAACAGUCUCGUCAAAAGCAACGUGAUGCGAGAUGAUGACCUAUGCUCAAGGGGAUACCCAAUGAACGCACAACGAACGGCACACGGAGAAACUUUAUGCUCGGUGGUGGGGUAUACGUUGGGAAAGCAGAGACACCCAAAAACUUUGAGAUGAUCAUAUGUGGGAUACACGCCGUAGAGACGAAAGAAGGGUGUGUCGUUGCGGAUGGCGGAGGAUGGUCGUCAGUUGAGGAGGUGUGUAGCUGUAUGAAGAGCCUCGACCCAAAAGUUUGGAGGAAGGUGUGCAUGGAGAAGGAGGGUGCGGAGCACGUCAUUUGUUGUGCAGAUCAUGCGUUCAGCCUUACCGUUUUGAUGUGAAGUAUACCCGCAAGAGAGGCAGAGAGAGGAACCGUGGGACGAGAGGAAGUCACGGAGCGAGGUGCUGAGAAACUCACCGCCGUUGUCGCACUGUAUGCAUUUGAUGAAUACAUGGAAUUGCGUUACUAGGUAUGCGAAGAAACGGAGUAAGAUAAUGGACGUAUCAGAUUUAGCACGUAGUGGGAAAGUCCACGAAAAAUGAGAGAAGUUGAUGCGGAGCAUCCUAUGAACAUCACCAUGUCAAGAAUCCCAUCGCUAAGAGACACGUUCGACUUCUACUUCAAUCAUACUAAGGUGAAUUCCAUCCUUAAUGUGUGUCUUCUUAGUUCCCUUGAGGACGGUAUACUACUUGACCGUCCUACCAUGUGCCCAUAUAGGUUUGAGCCCGAUGAUGAACGUGCCAUGGAGGAGGUCAACCACAAGCGAGCGCCUACACCAUCCUUGAGAGAAGCAUGGAAACGUAGAAGGAACCGUCAAGGAGAAGACGAGGUUCCACCUACACCGACGGGAGUCCACGAGGAGACGUGCUGCGAGCUUCAGGACACCCCGUGCGCACGGGCACGUGGACCCCGUGCCCACGGUACAAGCCCGUGCACACGGGCUACUGGCCAGCACUCUGGAUACCCCGUGCGCACGGGGCCUCCUGCGUGUGACCGUUGGGCUUUGCCUUGUAUUCCCAUUUCGCCCCUCCUUACGCCUUCAUCCCUUGGACCUAUAUAUACUCCUUCAUCUCCUCCAUUUAGGGAUAGCUAAGAAUAGACACAAAUCAUAGAGCUUAGCUCAUGUACCUCCCCUUGUGGGAUUCGUCUUGAGAGAGAAGGCUCCAUUGGAGUACAAGACCUCCAUUGGAGAAGAACCCUAGGGAUGCAAGCCCCCCCUUUGGGGAAGGAUCUACCUAGAUCAUCAAGCCCUCAUCUCCUUCAUAGGAUUUGGGAUGAACUAUACCAUGUAUCUUGUUUCCCUUUGAUUGUUCAUGUACCUUGUGGAUCUUGUGUGUUUGUUGGUCUAGUGGAUGUGUGAUUGGACUUGUUCUUGAGUGUUCCUCUUGUUUUCCCUCCUUGUGUUCAUCUUAUUCUUGGGGAUUCCCCCUCCAAUUCAUGAAAGAUCUCUCCAUAGGGUUCCACCCUACAACAUCUUGGUAUCAUGAGCCAUGGUUUCUCACGAAAUUGGAGCCCCCUUCGUGUUUUCUAGCCUUGUUUUGUGUGAUUUCGUCCUAAAUUCGAAAAUUUUCCACCAAAAAUAGCCCCAAAAUUUUUUGUGAUUUGUUGGUUUGAUGAGGUUUUGUUGGAUUUGAUCAAUGGAUUUGCUUGGUUUCAAGUGGUUCUAGCUUUCCUCCACCUUCCUCGACCUUCCAUCCUUCAAUUUUGACCGCAAUUUCGAGAUUACCCACGGAUCCGGAGCAGUUCGUCCGCUCACAGAACACCCCAUGCAUAGGCGACCCCGUGAACACGGGCCAGACAGACCCCGUGCGCACGACCCUUCCAGUGUGCUUCGGCCGCUGCCCCUUCGACCUCCCACCCUCCCAUGCCACCCCCAUACCCCUAGCUAAACCCCAGCAACGAGAUCCAUCCAGUUGGAGCCCAGAUCGGGAAGAAAUCCGCCAAACCCGCAUCUCCCAGGUGACCCCGUGCCCUCGGUGUGUGUACCGUGCGCACGGCACCCCGUGCCCACGGGCCCUAGACCCCGUGCUCACGACCCCGUGGUAUCCCAUCAUUGUACAUUCUUGCCAUUACAUUGUUAACCCCUUAGCCCAUUUUUGCGUCACUUACCUAUCGAGACUAGCCUUUGAGUAUUGCCGGCAACGUUACUUGUGCACAUUAGUGAUCAUUGGUCUACACCUUCCAUUGCAUACAUACCAUAUCAUAUUGGUAUCAUCUUGGAUCAUAUCCUCUCUUGUGUCACAAGAUUGAUCCCGCAUAUACACAAUUGCUAUCCUAGUUUGUGCAUUUCGCAUAGUGGCCAUAUAAAAAAAAAUAAUAAGCUUUUAAGCAAAAGAAAAGAGAGCAAAGAGCUUGUAAUAAAGUGCCAUAGCAUCACACCACAUUGCAUAAGAUUGCCAUAUCCAAUCAUCUUGGACCAAACAACGGGAACAUCAUACACAUAGCAUACUUGGGAUAGAAAGCUCAUACAUUUUGCAUCUUAUAGGUUGUGCACAAGUGUCGUAUCCGCCUAUUGAGCAAUCGUGCUAGCGUCUCUCUUGAGUUGUGCAACACGAGCAUUUUCCGUGGAUUCCACAUUUUGUGCUCAUACCUUGGUUGCACGACCCCAUUUUAUCUAUCCGUGUGUGUGUUUCCGUGUACCACAUAUUGCUAUUGGUCUACUUGUUUCUCUUGCGAAAUUGUGAAUCUUUUCCAACAUUAUUGACUCUUGCUAACAUUUUUCAUGAAAUUUGUGCCACUUUUCCUAACCAAGCCACUCGAUAAGCUUUUACUUGUAGGUGUGAGUGAACAAGUCCGGUACCAAUUCCACUAUUCUUUCAUCUCACAUUGAGUGAUACGAGAUACAUCCUCAACUUUGGGAAAAGGUAGCUUGGUAUUGUUUAUCUCAUUUCCGACCCACCUUUGCUCGAGUCUUGUGAUGGAUAGGCAAAGCACAUCAUCUCUGGUCUACAACCACGACGACGAGUUCGAUGCUAUGAAGAACUUCAUCGAUGCCAAGAUGGACAAGCACAUGGAGGAGCUCAAGGUCCUCAUCAAGAACGACAAGCGGUCUUCCUCAUCUUGGAGAAGACGCUCAAGUGCAAAGACUUCCGUGCUACCAUCCCCAGCAAGUGCACACAAGCAUCGACAUCGACAGGACCAUGAAGAGUGACCUCCUGGACGAGAGUUGGCUUCUCUGCCACCCCCGUGCACACGAGCCCUCAACCCCCGUGCACACGGGACCACAUGCAUGCGGCCUCCGACGACCCCGUGCGCACGGGCUAUACAGAGCUGCGACAUCAACCUCAAGACUACCGCUUCUUCAACACCUUUGGCAUCUUUGCCAAGUAACUUCAAGGCAUCUUCGCCUUCGGAUGUACGGCAUCUUCGCCUACUCCACGAGCUCAAGUCCACUACUCCCUCAAGCUACUACGACCUCGACACCAACCACGAGAUUCCUUUCUAUGGGACUCUAGAACCCGAGGAGUAUCUCGAGUAGGAGCGUUUGAUGGACGACUACCUCAAGCUACAUCAAGUCCCUCACGAAGAUCAAGUGAAGUGCGCCUCAAGAAACUUCCAUGAUUACGCGUCCACAUGGUGGCUUCACACACCUUUGGAGAGCUACGACAUGAGUUGGCCCAAGACGAAGAAAGCUAUGCGGCGAGAGUUCGUGCAUCCAACCUACAUGGAACAACUUCUACGCCAAUUGGAGAACACCAUCCAACGAUCCAAGUCCAUCGGCGAGGUACUUCAAGGAGAUGAAGCAUGCCUUGCGACGUGCCGGCGUGGACGAUCCCAUGUCAAUGAAGUUCCACUUCAUGAUGGGAUUGAACAACGACAUCUCCAGGACUAUCUUCCUCGCGAACUACAAGUCCCUCGAGGACAACUACAUUGGUGCUCUCAAGGCGAAACAAGAACUCAUGAAGACCAAGGCUUGUCCACCCAAAGCACACUUCGCGGCGAACAAGCUCUAUGACCACGAUCAUGAGGAUAGUACCACCACGAUGUCCAAGUCCGACGAGCUCCAAGACGAUCCUCCCAAGUUCGACUUCACCGCCAUACCACUUUGUGGCAUUGAUGAUGCCGAGUCCUCCACGACUCUUUUUCAAGAUGGUGCGGCAACAAGUACGACUACGGAGACCUUCAAGGACCAAGCUUUGGAGGCAAGCGACAUGGUGACGAGCAAGGAUGAUGCUUCCAUCUUAGGAGGCGAGAGUGAUGUUGUGCCAUCUUCGGUCUUCAUCCACGGCGACGGUGAUGAGAUGAUUAAGCAUGGGAUUUUCCCUUCGGUCAUGGAGGAGAGUGACUUCACCACUAGCCCCAUAUAUGAUGUGUUGCCCCAAUUCCCAUGUGAGGAGAGCCACCGCCACCACCACAUGAGUGAUUUGAGUGACUCCACCAUAUGCGACAUUGAGUGCACCUACCUUGAGGGAGUGAGUGGGCCACCGCCACAUAGAGAGAGUGAGAUAGUUGAUGAGGCAUAUGAGGCCAUUUCGCUUUCUAACAACUUAACCUCUACCUCUAUUGUGUCUUCUCCUUUGGUGCUAGGUUCCAUAUAUGAUGACGCGCCGAUCCUAGACAUCUUCGUCCUCCCUUUGGACAUGACUAUGGCCAUGGUGGAAUAUGGUGCACCCCCCACAUGGUUCCAUCACGAUGAAGAUGACCAUGAUUUGGUCUUUCCCACCUCACCUACACCACUUGAGUGGAAUGAACAAGGUAACAUAGGUUAAGGUGAUGCUCUAGUCCCACUAGUGGACAUUCUUGACAUUGAUUGCUUGCAUGAUGUUGAUCCACCUAUUCCCAUGCUUCAUGCUAGUGCGACUUCCUCAUGUCAUGACUUACCACUUUAUGAUGAAUAUGAUGAUGCAUGUUGAAGUGCCUAGUUGUGAUGCCAUGUUACAUAGGAUUUCGUGUGACAAUUCUCUAGGUCACAUCAUGUUUGACAAUCCGCUUGACUUGUCAUAUGCUAUGCAUGAGAUCAAUCAUAUGUCUUAUUUGCAAUGUCAUCAUAGUGACUAUGCAUAUGCCAUUAAAAUUAAUCUAAUUUGCACUUAUGGCAUAGAUGACAAGCCCAUGGUUAUUGGCAUUUGUUUCUCUUGUGAUGAUAUUGAUAUGCUCCCUUUGCAUCAUUUAUCUCAUAUGCCAUGCCACGACCACCUAGCUUCGGAUAUGCAUUGUUUUGGAUGUUGUCCAUUUUCUCCAUAUGAUGUUUCCGAUUUUGCUCAUGAGGAGACCCCCAUAGUUUUCUCAUACAUGUUAGUAGAUUUUGAUCCAUCCCAUCCAUUGCAUGAUCCCAAUACUUGUGUGCACCAUAUGCUCCCCAUGAAUAAGAAUGCUAUUGAUGUGCCAUAUAAUUGCAUACUUGAUUUGUGUCCUCAUCAUGUCAUACAUAACAACUAUUCUUUCAUGAUGGAUGACAUGUUCUUAUACCAUGCAUCAAAUUUCUUUGAACGAUGCGUAUCUUGUGCUAACUCACACAUGCACAUACACAUCAUGAUGGAUGAUGUGUACAUUUACCACGCACACACAUUCUUUCGUUUGUGUCUCUUUUGUGUAGGUACCCAUGAACACUCGUCAAUCUCACAAUCCCACGAGUUGACGAAACGAGCUCUUGAGAGCAACGAUGAUUUGGGAUACCAUGGGGUUUCAUUCCCACCACUCCCUUCGCGCAAAGACUUCGCGCAUUUCUUCUACAUGGCCCUCACAUGGCUAUGGGUUAUAUACCACUUCUCACUUUAUGCCCAUAUUUCCAUGUUCACUAUGCUUGAUAUGAUCAUUCAUAUGCCUUUGUCAUGCAUUUGUGACCCAUGCUUUGCAUUACACAUGAUGAUUGAUUCUAGUACUUGUAUGUGUAUUUGCAAGCUUGGUGGAGAUAUCACUUGUUAUUGCCAUGUUUGCUUUGUGCCCCAUGCCUAUGAUGAUACUAUGAUCUUGCUUUGUGUUCGUGCUUGCGAUAUGUCAUGUGCAUUGUCUAUGCCCACUAUUUGCAACCAUGACAUGAUUCACUUAAUUGCCUCACACAUGUUGAAAAAUUGCUCUUUACUUCGUGUUGAGUGCCAUGAUAUCUUCACUACACCCUAGGCACAUCAUGCUUGGAUUGUCUUGCACUUGCCCCAUAUGUUUAGACAUCUCAUUAUAUUCGGUGUUGUGAAUGAUUCAUAUGCAUACCAUAGACCAUUUGUUGAGCGCUUUAUGCAUUCUUGCUAUGAUCUUGAGGUAGAUGCUUGUUCACGUCACACAUAUUAGCAUAUUUCCCUCCCAUUGGCAUACUUGUUUCCAUGAUGUCCUUGAUUGUGCUCAACUUACAUGCUUAAAUGCCAUGCCACACUUCUUUGUCAAACCAUAUGCUAGGCUUGAUGACAACACUUGUUGGGUGAAUCACCUCUUGAAUGCUUGGUUUUGCUCUUACGCCAGCCACAUUUGUUUUUCCAAGUGCUUGUCGUCUUUGCUCCUUUUGAAGGAAUUACAAGACGCUGCGACAUUGGAGAGUGCCCAUUUGAAACUACAAGAUGAUGCAUGCUUGGUGAUCGUCAACUCCUACACGGCAACAUCAUCUCUUUCCCAUGGUGAUUUGGAUUACGAUUCGUUGUCAGAUCUUUACCAAGGGGGAGGGGAUGAUGCGGAGCAUCCUAUGGACAUCACCAUGUCAAGAAUCCCAUCGCUAAGAGACACGUUCAACUUCUACUUCAAUCAUACUAAGGUGAAUUCCAUCCUUAAUGCAUGUCUUCUUAGUUCCCUUGAGGAUGGUAUACUACUUGACCGUCCUACCAUGUGCCCAUAUAGGUUUGAGCUCGAUGAUGAACGUGCCAUGGAGGAGGUCAACCACAAGUGAGCACCUACACCAUCAUCGAGAGAAGCAUGAAAACGUAGAAGGAACCGUCAAGGAGAAGGCAAGGUUCCACCUGCACCGACGGGAGUCCACGAGGAGACGUGUUGCGAGCUUCAGGACACCCCGUGCGCACGGGCCCUUGGACCCCGUGCCCACGGUACAAGCCCGUGCACAUGGGCCACGUCGCCAGCUCUCUGGAUACCCCGUGCGCACGGGGCCUCGUGCGUGUGACUGUUGGGCUUUGCCUUGUAUUCCCAUUUCGCCCCUCCUUACCCCUUCAUCCCUUGGACCUAUAUAUACUCCUUCAUCUCCUCCAUUUAGGGAUAGCUAAGAAUAGACACAAAUCAUAGAGCUUAACUCAUGUACCUCCCCUUGUGGGAUUCCUCUUGAGAGAGAAGGCUCCAUUGGAGUACAAGACCUCCAUUGGAGAAGAUCUCUAGGGAUGCAAGCCCCCCCUUUGGGGAAGGAUCUACCUAGAUCAUCAAGCCCUCAUCUCCUUCAUAGGAUUUGGGAUGAACUCUACCAUGUAUCUUGUUUUUCUUUGAUUGUUCAUGUACCUUGUGGAUCUUGUGUGUUUGUUGGUCUAGUGGAUGUGUGAUUGGACUUAUUCUUGAGUGUAACUCUUGUUUUCCCUCCUUGUAUUCAUCUUGUUCUUGGGGAUUCCCCCUCCAAUUCAUGAAAGAUCUCUCCAUUGGGUUCCACCCUACAACAGAAGUCAUCAAGGAUGACAAGGUAAAAUUGGUAACCGGAUAAGCUAGGAACGGGGGAAUUCCAGAGGUUGCAGUGUAUCAUAUCGAAGGGAGCAGUAGUACACGAACGAGAGGAUGAAAAAGGUAAUCUGGAUUGCUUGCCUAACUGGGAGGACUCACAAAUAUGGAAAUUCAAACUAUCUCUAUUACAUGGUGAUUGAAGAAAAGUUUUACUCCCUCCUUCCAUCUAUAUAGGGCCUAAUUCGUUUUUUAAGACCGCCUUUGACUAUUGACAAGAUUAAUAGUACAUGACAUGCACAAUGUGAAAAUUAUAUCAUUGAAAUCUCCUUUCACACACAAAUUUAACGGUGUGCUUUGUGUAAGUUGCAUGUCAUAUAUUAUUGCUCUAAUAUUUGGUCAAAGUUAGUCUCGAAAAACGCAUUAGGCCCUAUAUAGAUGAAAGGAGGGAGUAGCUAAGAGUGAAAGGGAAUUACUGCUAAGAUGCCCAAGGCGUUGAUGCCACAGCUGCCAUCGACGGAGAGGAUCUGCUGGACUGCAGCGGAGCUGAAGAACGGAUAUAAAUCUCCAUGGCUACUGGACGUAAUUAGGAUGCGCUGGGUACAAGAACAUGAGCGGCGAACACGAUUGUACAAGAAUGGGUUAUACUAUGUAUGAGAUGAGGGCUCGGCGGGGGCCUUCCCCUUGUCCUUCUGGUUCCCGGAGACGUUGCAGUCGCCGCGAGCGCCCCCGGAGGAGCCGUCGAAGGUGUUGCCGAUGGAGAGCAUGGUGGCGCCGUCCGAGCGCCCGUCAGCUCGAGCGCGCUCGUUCUGUGUGAUCUCCUCAAGAAGGAGGCGCGACCGGGCCUGCGCGAAGUUGGGGAACGGCAUGCAACGGUAGGACCGUCGCGAGCAUGUGGAACCGACGACUGAGGCCGUGGGUGAACUGGAGCGUCAAGGUGCGGUCGGUGACGGGCUCCUCAACGUCGGCGAGCGCGGCUGCCAGCGUCUGUAGACGGCGAGCGUACUCGGCCACAGUCAGGUCGCCCUGCAUCGUGCCGCGGAACUCAGCCGAGAGAUGGAUCGCUCGACCGGCCUGGUUGUUGAGGAAGAACAGCUGGAGGGUGUGCCAGAUUUGGUGCGCCGUGGGAAUGUUCGGAGGGGACACCACGACGUCGUACAACUCAUCAGAAAUCGUGGAGGUUAUCCACAAGACGAUGGUUAUAUCGUCGUUUCGCCACACUGCAUCCUCGUUGGCGGGGUCCCGGUCUUCAUCUACAUGUUGCUGCGCAUUGUACUUGCAGAGAAUACAAUAGAAGAGGUGGCGCCAUUUGGAGUAGUUACCCGCGGCGAGGUCGAGGUUGAACCGCAGGAAGUGCGUGAUGGUGGGAGGGAGACCGUCGGCUGGCGCCUGCGCCGGCGCCGGCGCACCCGCGAUGUCAAUGCAAGGGAUGAGCUCACGGGAGGCGCCGUAGUGAAGGGGAGCUGAAGGAGGUGCCGCUGGAACGGCUGCAGGCCCCGCGGGUACGACAUUGCCGAGGAACACUGGGUCGGGCGCCGGAGCCCGAGGAUGGAGGCCCGCGCCGGGAGCUGCAUGGGCGGGUGGGACGGCAGCAAGAGGGAGGUUGGCCGCCGCGUCGAGGUCAGCCGAGGGGGAGCGGCGGAGCAGGCGAUUCAUGGCGGAAGCGUGGGGUUGGGAUCGGAACUGCUCAGGUACCAAGUUGAAUGACCGAACUCAUCGCUCACUUGUAUUCACAUAUCGUAGGGGUAUUUAUACAUGGAGAGGUACAAGGGGGCGACGGAGAGAAAGUGUAGAAUGGCCGUGGCCGAGCAUGCCGUGCAUGCGAGGUUGGCGUGCCCAUGAUGUGCACGCCCCUGCUGAACUGACGGAGAGAAUAGGUCAAGGCCGUUGGCCCUCUGCUUGUGUGCGUGUAGCAGACUUCCAACAGCAUAACCUAAUGGUCGAGGGAAUAUAUAUUUGACAUUAAGAAAGCAGUAGCAAUAAACUGAACGAUCGUAUGGUAAGCUAACGGAUAGGUUUUAUCCAUCACAUCAUUCUCAUAAUGACGUGAUCUCGUUAUCAAAUGACAACUCAUAUCUGUGGUUAAGAAACCUUAACCAUCUUUUCAUCAACGAACUAGUCUAGUAUAGGAUCAUUAGGGACACCGUAUUUGUUUAUGUACCCACACAUGCAUUUAAGUUUUCAGUCAAUACAAUUCUAGCACGAAUAAUAAACCUUUAUCAUGAAUAAGGAAAUAUAAUAAUAACAACUUUAUUAUUGCCUCUCGAGCAUAUUAACAUCAAUAUUUGCACGAAUGUUACCAUCGCUCAAUUCGUGGACUAGUGGCACAUAUGUAGGGGGCGCUGGAAGUGAUUAGAUAAUGUUGCAUUCGUAGGAUCAAUGAGAUGCCAUUUAGUAUCGGAGAGAAAUUUAUUAUGAGGGUAAUAGCUGUGAUGGGAACAUGUGAUGGGAACACACAUCAGGCUGAAGUACAAGAGGGGGGAAGGCAAGCGUAAACUUUGACGGGUAGGAGGAGAAGGCUGAAUGCCAACAACGACAUGUACCAAUAAAUGCGAGGAGGUCAUGGCAGGAGGUGAACAGAGCAAUGAUCUCGUGGACAAGGCAGUCUAGAAGGUCUGCCCAACCUAGGGGCGUAGAACUGUCGGGGAAGAUGGAGACCAGGUCAUGGCAGGCCUUUUUAGAGGAACUUUGACUGUCUUUCAUAAUAUGAACUUCUCUGUCAAACACAAUAAACCAAGAUCAACACAUUAGAAGCGAGAACAUAUAAAAAUGGAAAUAAUAGCUAGUCAAAUGGUAGAAAUAUGGGAACAUCUGUUAUCUUUAUGGUAUUAAUUAAUAGAACAAAUGCAUUGAGUUCGGAUAGACAUGGGUUAGUCCGCUCUGUUUCUCUUUUUACUCCUCUCUGUUUCAUUAUGGUCUCCGAGCAGAUAUGCACCUAUGCUAAACUUUGGUAACAGCUAAUUAAUGACAAAAAUGCAGAAAUGUGAUAAUAUACUCGCACCAUUAUAUUAAAAAAAUAACUGACAUAUAAAUGAUUUUUUUGUAAUUUCCUCCUUGUCUGCUGAACAUUUUUAACCACUAGUACUUGAAGCGAUUUUUCAGGUGAUAGAACAACAUUCAUGUCAUGUACUCGACAUGGCAAAGUAGAUGAUGAAAAGAAAAUAGGAUCUUAUAGAACCACAUUCACAAGCUAUAUAGGUUAAAAAAGAUGCAAUUAGUAAGGAAGACAAACAUGUCAUAUCUGGCAAAGACGAGCAUACAUUCAGUAACAAUCAGGCUGACUUUUUUACUGCAUCACUAGAAGAACUGAAGAAGAGUAUCGGUCAAGUAUGAGAUGUGGCAACUGGCUGGUGUGGUGCAAUAAGAAGUUUACGUCUGUCGGUGUACAAAAGUAGGGCACUUCUUUUUACCCCUUUACUUGUGCACGGACAGUCAGAGCCGUGCCGACGGCCACAGUAAGCAAGGCAGAGGAGGGAAACCGGAAAGAAGCCGAAGCACAAGACAACCAAGGCAACACCAAGACGAGAAACACGGGAGAGCAAGAAGGCGAGGUAGGCUCCCUCGGCAAGAUCUUUGCUGAGGCAGCCUCCGCAGCCCCGGCAAGAGCCUUGCCGGGGCAACUUGCCCGACGCCAGCAGAGCGAGCCAUCCUUGAGCCCAUGGGUCCCAACACCACCAACUACAUUGGAACCAAGGCUCGGGAGGCACCGCUAUGGUGGCAUGCAGAUCUUCGUCAAGAUCAUAAACAUGUGAGACCAGAUGAGGACUAGAAGACGGCGACCCUCGGCGGGAUCCCAGCCGAGGGAAUCCACAAGACGCCCGGCAAGGGUUCCGGGGACGACUUCAACGCCACGGCAAGACCCUUGCCGGGUCCCCGGCAAGACCCUUGCCGAAGGCGUUAGCAGGGCCACUGCCAGGUCCGCGCCAGCCAAGACUCCACCGCCAUUCACAUGCAGCUGCCAGCCCAACCAGCUGGGCAGGCACCUCCGUGGCAACAUGCGGCUUCCAGUCCAACUCAGCAAGCACUUGCAUGGUGGCAUGCAGACCUUCGUGAAGGCCCUGCCACCGCGCCACCUCAGCAGCCUGCCUGCCUACAUGGCACUGCACACAUCGCUGGCCUGGGCGCGUGUCGAAGCGAGGCAGAGCGGUGAUGGACGGGAUGGGCCUCGUUCCCGUCCCUGAUAAAGCUAAUGAACACCUAAGUAGCGCAUUUAAUGCGCUUUGUCCCGUAAUGCCGGGCGAUAAGCUCGCGCACUGUAGACCUUUCCACCUCCUGUGUGCCACUGUGGCAACCCUUUUUGCCUAUAAAAGGAGGCCCGAGGUUACCAGGAGAGGGAUUCGGCUCUUUUGGGCACGUUGCACCAUGUAGCUAGCUCAAGAACACAAGAAUACUCAAAUACAUCCACCAAAGCAUGACUAGGGUUUUAUGCAUACUCGCGGCCCGAACCUAGGUAAACGACUCGUGUGCUUCCUGUCAGACUUGCUCUUUGCACAACCUCACGCCCGCCGACCGUAGAAGGGAUCCGAGUGACCCCAUAGGUGUCGUUCCGACCGACAUCUUUGGCGCGCCAGGUAGGGGACGCGGCGUCGUUGUGGAAAUCCGGUCUAGCAGUUCUUCAUCGCCAUGGCUCCCAUGAAAAGGCGGUCGGUUCGUUGGGAGCCGGACGGCCCGUACCAGUGCGGGCGAGCAGCGCGCCGGUCGCGGACAGGACCCGAGGCGCAACCCGCGAGCACCAACAUCGCUCUGGCAGUCAGAGCCUGGCGAGCGGCGUCAUUCGUGCGCAAGACGACGGGCCGCACGCCGCAAAAUCCAGAGACGGAGCUGGGCCCCCCGCAGGCUGCGUGGGGCCCUCCGGGUUCACCGCCGUACCACCCACGGGCUGUGCGGCAACCUCCAAGACGCCCACCCCGGCGCCCACAGCGCCCUCUUCCCAUGGUGUGUGUGACGAGCAGCGUUACCACGCUGGUGACCCUGGACAGCGCCGUGGGAAGAGCCCUGUGCAUCAUCUGCGGGACGAAGGAGGCCAGCAUGCCCGCCGAAGUGCUGGCGAAAAUGGCACUUAGCCGCCGGGCCGUGAUAGAGCUCCUUCUAACGUGGUUAGCAGUCGAAGUGCGCCACGGUCCACGCAGCUUUCGCCACCACCCAUGCCAGCAGAAGCUUUGGCGCGCGCGCAGCUGCUCCUCGGCUGCCCUCCUGCUGCAGAGAAGCUCGACGAGUGGAGAGCCACAAUCCGGAGCCUCGUCGUCAUCGCCAACAAAUAUGAUCCGCGACUGGCGGGGCCCUCGGGCCGGCGCUCCGUCGAGCCACCACAUGCCAGCAGUGGAAGGACCGGGGGAGCUGCUGCCACAGUGCACUCUCCUCCCCCGUGCCAGUUGCCGCCGGUGCCGGUCCGUCGUGACGACGCUUGUGAUAACAUUUCCAUCACGUCGUCCGACCCACGGACCCACCGCGAUCAGCGUCAGGUCCUUCAGGAGCGAGCCCACGAAGACGCUCGAACCACCAUUGAGUGCCGGCGCGAUACACGCCCCCAGUCGGAUAAGCGGGCGGGGCCCGCUAUGGACCACCCAGCACCGGGGGGCUCCGGCGGCGUACCUUAUGAGGUGGGUUGCCCUUACCCGUGAGCUGCGGUAGUUCCAGUGGCCGUCCCACCGCAUGUUCAAGCCCGACGUCGGGGAGAAGUACAAUGGAAAGACCCAUCCGUCGGAGUUCCUCAGCAUCUACACCAUCACGAUGCAAGCUGCUGGAGCUCGCGACGACAAGGUGCUUGCCAAUUACUUCCCGUUGGCAUUGAAGCCCAACGUCAUGUCUUGGUUGAUGCACUUGUUGGCGGAUUUCAUUUCUUCUUGGUCGGAUCUGUGCCAUGAGUUUGUUGCUGCCUUCAUAGGAGGCCACCAAGCUCAUGGUCAGGCCAGUGAUUUGCAUAUCAUUCCCCGGGUGCAGUACAUACAGAGGUUCAUCCGGGUGCAGUACAACAUCCCUGAUGUUCAUCCCGCCGCCGUGAUUAGCGUGUUCCAUCAGAACGUGCGCAAUCGCAAGAUGCGUGAGGAGCUGGCGAUGAGCAAGGUUAAGGAUGUGGCCGAACUUUAUGUUCUGCCCGACAGGUGCGCUCGGGCUGAAGAGGGAAGGAAAUACCACGACGAGGACGCCGGCAUGAAGACAACGCCGCCCCGACGAAGAAGGGCCGGCGUUGCAACAGGAAACGGAAGGGCAAGACCGUGCUUGCCGUCGAGGGAUCCGACGACACCGGCGCUGCCAAGAAGGCCAAGGUAGACGACCCCGGCAAGGAGAUUGCCGGGUGCGCCUCUUGUCGGGCCUUCACGGCUGUCGACAAGCCAGGGGGCUCCGACAAGCAGUACUGCAAGAUCCACCGUACCAAAGGCCACGACCUCCAGAACUGCAGACAAGUUGAGCUGCUUGCCGAAAAGCAAAAAGCUGAGUAUGAGAGGCGGGACAAGGAGAAGGGCCAAGAUGGCGCUGAAGGAUCCGGCAAGAAGCGUGGCGGCCAAGGAGGUCGUCGCGGCAAGGAUAACCAGCAAGAGAGGCCCUCUCGGGGCCGUGACAAGAAGCAGGAAGACGAGGAUCAUGACGAGGAUGACGAGUCGGGCGAGCAAGAGUUUCAGAAGGCUACCGAGGCCAUGUGCGUCGAUGCUGGCGCCUCGCUGCAUACUUCUCACUGCCAGCUCAAGCAGUGGGUGCGUGAGAUCACAGCAGCGGAGCCAUCGUUCGACACUCAGAAGCCGCUGAAAUGGUCCAGCACGCCCAUCAUCUUUGACGCAGAGGACCACCCUGACUGCACCACUGCGGUCGUGUGCUUGCCGUUGUUGGUCUCACCAACGAUACGCAACCUCAAGGUGAACAAGAUGCUGGUUGACGGCGGGGCCGGUCUGAACUUAAUCUCGCCCGUUGUGAUCAAGGGGCUCCAAAUUCCCGAUGGAGACCUCGAGGAGACGGGCACGUUUCAAGGGGUUAAUCCGGAAGGAGCCAGCCGAAAGGGAAGUUCACGUUGCUUGUGUUGGGGAACGUUGCAGAAAAUUAAAAUUUUUCCUACGGUUUCACCAAGAUCCAUCUAUGAGUUCAUCUAAGCAACGAGUCAAGGGAGUGAGUUUGCAUCUACAUACCACUUGUAGAUCGAGUGCGGAAGCGUUCAAGGGGAUGGUGAUGAGGGAGUCGUACUCGCCAUGAUUCGGAUCACCGAUGACCAAGUGCUGAACGGACAGCACCUCCGCGUUCAACACACGUACGGGACGGUCGACGUCUCCUCCGUCUUGAUCCAACAAGGAGGAAGGAGAGGUUGAGGAAGGCAGCUCCAAUGGCAGCACGACGGCGUGGUGCAGUUGGUGCAGCAGUACUCCGACAGAGCUUCGCCAAGCACGUACGGAAGAGGAGAGGUGUUGGGGAGGGGAGGGGCUGCGCCUUGGCUUGUGUAUUGCAGCCCUCCCCUCACCCCUCUAUAUAUAGGGGAAGAGGGGCAAGAGGGGCCGUCCCUAUAGAUGGAACCCUAGAGGGGGGCGGCGGCCAAGGGAGAGGGGUGGCUUGCCCCCCAAGCAAGGGGGGCGCCCCCUUCUAGGGUUCCCCCCCCCCAAACCCUAGGCGCAUGGGCCCAUGGUGGGGGGCGCGCCCAGCCCACUAGGGGCUGUCUCCCUCUCCACGCAGCCCAAGUGGCCCCCCGGGAGGGGUGGCCCCUCCCGGUGGACCUCCGGAACCCUUCCGGUGGCCCCGGUACAAUACCGGUAUGCCCCCAAAACUUUCCGGUGUCCGUUUAACAACUUCCCAUAUAUAAAUCUUUACCUCCGGACUAUUCCGGAACUCCUCGUGACGGCCGGGAUCUCAUCCGGGACUCCGAACAACAUUCGGUAAUCACAUACAAGUCUUCCUGAUAACCCUAGCGUCACCGAACCUUAAGUGUGUAGACCCUACGGGUUCGGGAGACAUGCAGACAUGACCGAGACGCUCUCAGGUCAAUAACCAACAGCAGGAUCUGGAUACCCAUGUUGGCUCCCACAUGCUCCUCGAUGUUGUCAUCGGAUGAACCACGAUGUCAAGGAUUCAAGCAACCCCGUAUUCUAUUCCCUUUGUCAGACGGUAUGUUACUUGCCCGAGACUUGAUCGUCGGUAUCCCAAUACCUCGUUCAGUCUCGUUACCGGCAAGUCACUUUACUCGUACCGUAAUGCAUGAUCCCGUGACCAGACACUUGGUCACUUUGAGCUCAUUAUGAUGAUGCACUACCGAGUGGGCCCAGUGAUACCUCUCCAUAACACGGAGUGACAAAUCCCAGUCUCGAUCCGUGUCAACCCAACAGACACUUUCGGAGAUACCUGUAGCGCACCUUUAUAGUCACCCAGUUACGUUGUGAUGUUUGGUACACCCAAAGCACUCCUACGGUAUCCAGGAGUUACACGAUCUCAUGGUCUAAGGAAGAGAUACUUGACAUUUGAAAAGCUCUAGCAAAACGAACUACACGAUCUUGUGCCAUGCUUAGGAAUGGGUCUUGUCCAUCACAUCAUUCUCCUAAUGGCGUGAUCCCGUUGUCAAUGACAUCUGAUGUCCAUAGUCAGGAAACCAUGACUAUCUGUUGACCAACGAGCUAGUCAACUAGAGGCUUACUAGGGACGUAUUGUAGUCUAUGUAUUCACACAUGUAUUACGACUUCCGGAUAAUACAAUUAUAGCAUGAAUAAAAGACAAUUAUCAUGAACAAGGAAAUAUAAUAAUAAUGCUUUUAUUAUUGCCUCUAGGGCAUAUUUCCAACAGUCUCCCACUUGCACUAGAGGCAAUAAUCUAGUUACAUAGUGAUGAAUCGAACACCCAUAGAGUUCUGGUGUUGAUCAUGUUUUGCUCGCGAGAGAGGUUUAGUCAACGGAUCUGCGACAUUCAGAUCCGUAUGCACUUUACAAAUUUCUAUGUCUCCAUCUUGAACAUUUUCACGGAUGGAGUAGAAGCGACGCUUGAUGUGCCUGGUCUUCUUGUGAAACCUGGGUUCCUUGGCAAGUGCAAUAGCCCCAGUGUUGUCACAGAAGAGUUUGAUCAGCCCCGACGCAUUGGGUAUGACUCCUAGGUCGGUGAUGAAAUCCUUCACCCAAAUAGCUUCAUGCGCUGCCUCCGAGGCUGCCAUGUACUCCGCUUCACAUGAAGAUCCCGCCACGACACUCUGCUUGCAGCUGCACCAGCUUACUGCCCCACCAUUCAACAUAUACACGUAUCCGGUUUGUGACUUAGAGUCAUCCAGAUCUGUAUCGAAGCUAGCGUCGACGUAACCCUUUACGACGAGCUCUUCGUCACCUCCAUAAACGAGAAACAUGUCCUUUGUCCUUUUCAGGUACUUCAGGAUAUUCUUGACCGCUGUCUAGUGUUCCUUGCCAGGAUUAUUUGGUACCUUCCUACCAAACUUAUGGCAAGGUUUACAUCAGGUCUGGUACACAGCAUGGCAUACAUAAUAGAUCCUAUGGCUGAGGCAUAGGGGAUGACGCUCAUCUCUUCUUUAUCUUUUGCCGUGGUCGGGCAUUGAGCCGAGCUCAAUUUCACACCUUGCAGUACAGGCAAGAACCCUUUCUUGGACUGAUCCAUUUUGAACUUCUUCAAAAUCUUAUCAAGGUAUGUGCUUUGUGAAAGACCUAUGAGGCGUCUCGAUCUAUCUCUAUAGAUCUUGAUGCCUAAUAUAUAAGCAGCUUCUCCAAGGUCCUUCAUUGAAAAACUUUUAUUCAAGUAGGCCUUAAUGCUGUCCAAGAGUUCUAUAUCAUUUCCCAUCAAAAGUAUGUCAUCUACAUAUAAUAUGAGAAAUGCUACAGAGCUCCCACUCACUUUCUUGUAAACGCAGGCUUCUCCAUAAGUCUGCAUAAACCCAAACGCUUUGAUCAUCUCAUCAAAGCGAAUGUUCCAACUCCGAGAUGCUUGCACCAGCCCAUAAAUGGAUCGCUGGAGCUUGCAUACUUUGUUAGCAUUCUUAGGAUCGACAAAACCUUCCGGCUGCAUCAUAUACAACUCUUCCUUAAGAUAACCGUUAAGGAACGCUGUUUUGACGUCCAUCUGCCAUAUCUCAUAAUCAUAGUAUGCGGCAAUUGCUAACAUGAUUCGGACAGACUUAAGCUUCGCUACGGGAGAGAAAGUCUCAUCGUAGUCAAUCCCUUGAACUUGUCGAUAACCCUUAGCGACAAGUCGAGCUUUAUAGAUGGUAACAUUACCAUCCGCGUCUGUCUUCUUCUUAAAGAUCUAUUUGUUUUCUAUCGCUCGCCGAUCAUCGGGCAAGUCUGUCAAAGUCCAUACUUUGUUUUCAUACAUGGAUCCUAUCUCGGAUUUCAUGGCUUCGAGCCAUUUGUUGGAAUCCGGGCCCGCCAUUGCUUCUUCAUAGUUCGAAGGUUCACCGUUGUGUAACAACAUGAUUUCCAGGACAGGGUUGCCGUACCACUCUGGUGCGGAACGUGUGCUAGUGGACCUACGAAGUUCAGUAGCAACUUGAUCCGAAGUACCUUGAUCAUCAUCAUUAAUUUCCUCUCCAGUCGGUGUAGGCACCACAGGAACAUUUUCCUGAGCUGCACUACUUUCCGGUUCAAGAGGUAGUACUUCAUCGAGUUCUACUUUCCUCCCACUUACUCCUUUCGAGAGAAACUCUUUUCCCAGAAAGGAUCCGUUCUUGGCAACAAAGAUCUUGCCUUCGGAUCUAAGGUAGAAGGUAUACCCAAUGGUUUCCUUAGGGUAUCCUAUGAAGACGCAUUUUUCCGACUUGGGUUCGAGCUUUUCAGGUUGAAGUUUCUUGACAUAAGCAUCGCAUCCCCAAACUUUUAGAAACGACAGCUUAGGUUUCUUCCCAAACCAUAAUUCAUACGGUGUCAUCUCAACGGAUUUAGAUGGUGCCCUAUUUAAAGUGAAUGUAGCUGUCUCUAGAGCGUAUCCCCAAAAUGAUAGCGGUAAAUCGGUAAGAGACAUCAUAGAUCGCACCAUAUCCAAUAGAGUGCGAUUACGAUGUUUGGACACACCGUUACGCUGAGGUGUUCCAAGCGGCGUGAGUUGUGAAACGAUUCCACAUUUUCUUAAGUGUGUACCAAAUUCGUGACUUAAAUAUUCUCCUCCACGAUCUGAUCGUAAGAACUUUAUUUUUCGGUCACGUUGAUUCUCUACUUCAUUCUGAAAUUCCUUGAACUUUUCAAAGGUCUCAGAUUUGUGUUUCAUCAAGUAGACAUACCCAUAUCUACUCAAGUCAUCAGUGAGAGUGAGAACAUAACGAUAUCCUCCGCGAGCCUCAACACUCAUUGGACCGCACACAUCGGUAUGUAUGAUUUCCAACAAGUUUGUUGCUCGCUCCAUUGUUCCGGAGAACGGAGUCUUGGUCAUCUUGCCCAUCAGGCAUGGUUCGCAUGUGUCAAAUGAUUCAUAAUCCAGAGACUCCAAAAGUCCAUCAGCAUGGAGCUUCUUCAUGCGCUUGACACCAAUGUGACCAAGGCGGCAGUGCCACAAGUAUGUGGGACUAUCGUUAUCAACUUUACAUAUUUUGGUAUUCACGCUAUGAAUAUGUGUAACAUUACGUUUGAGAUUCAUUAAGAAUAAACCAUUGACCAUCGGAGCAUGACCAUAAAACAUGUCUCUCAUAUAAAUAGAACAACCAUUAUUCUCGGAUUUAAAUGAGUAGCCAUCUCGUAUCAAACGAGAUCCAGAUACAAUGUUCAUGCUCAAACUUGGCACCAAAUAACAAUUAUUAAGGUUUAUAACUAAUCCCGUAGGUAAAUGUAGAGGUAGCGUGCCGACGGCGAUCACAUCGACCUUGGAACCAUUCCCGACGCGCAUCGUCACCUCGUCCUUCGCCAGUCUCCGUUUAUUCCGCAGCUCCUGCUGUGAGUUACAUAUAUGAGCAACGGCACCGGUAUCAAAUACCCAGGAGUUACUACGAGUACUGGUAAGGUACACAUCAAUUACAUGUAUAUCAAAUAUACCUUUAGUGUUGCCAGCCUUCUUGUCCGCUAAGUAUUUGGGGCAGUUCCGCUUCCAGUGGCCCUUCCCUUUCCAAUAAAAGUACUCUAUCUCAGGCUUGGGUCCAUUCUUUGACUUCUUCCCGGCAACUUGCUUACUGGGUGCGGCAACCUCCUUGCCGUCCUUCUUGAAGUUCUUCUUGCCCUUGCCCUUCUUGAACUUAGUGGUUUUAUUGACCAUCAACACUUGAUGUUCUUGCUUGAUUUCAACCUCUGCUGACUUCAGCAUUGAGAAUACUUCGGGAAUGGUCUUCUCCAUCCCCUGCAUAUUGUAGUUCAUCACAAAGCUCUUGUAUCUUGGUGGGAGCGACUGAAGGAUUCUGUCAAUGACCGCCUCGUCCGGGAGGUUUAUGUCCAGCUGGGACAGGCGGUUGUGCAACCCAGACAUUUUGAGUAUGUGCUCACUGACAGAACUGUUUUCCUCCAUCUUACAACUAUAGAACUUGUCGGAGACUUCAUAUCUCUCGACCCGGGCAUGAGCUUGGAAAACUAGUUUCAGCUCCUCGAACAUCUCAUAUUCUCCGUGUUGCUCAAAACGCUUUUGGAGCCCCGGUUCUAAGCUGUAAAGCAUGCCGCACUGAACGAGGGAGUAAUCAUCAGCACGAGACUGCCAAGCGUUCAUAACGUCUUGGUUCUCUGGGAUGGGUGCAUCACCUAGCGGUGCUUCUAGGACAUAUUUUUUCUUGGCAGCUAUGAGGAUGAUCCUCAGGUUCCGGACCCAGUCCGAAUAGUUGCUGCCAUCAUCUUUCAGCUUGGUUUUCUCUAGGAACGCGUUGAAGUUCAUGGUGACAUGAGUGUUGGCCAUUUGAUCUACAAGACAUAUUGCAAAGAUUUUAGACUAUUGUUCAUGAUAAUAAAGUUCAUCUAAUCAAAUUAUUUUAAUGAACUCCCACUUAGAUUAGACAUCCCUCUAGUCAUCUAAGUGUUACAUGAUCCGAGUCGACUAGGCCGUGUCCGAUCAUCACGUGAGACGGACUAGUCAUCAUCAGUGAACAUUCUCAUGUUGAUCGUAUCUUCCAUACGACUCAUGUUCAACCUUUCGGUCUCCGUGUUCCGAGGCCAUGUCUGUACAUGCUAGGCUCGUCAAGUUAACCUAAGUGUUUUGCGUGUGUAAAUUUGUCUUACACCCGUUGUAUGUGAACGUAAGAAUCUAUCACACCCGAUCAUCACGUGGUGCUUAGAAGCAACGAACUUUAGCAACGGUGCACAGUUAGGGGAGAACACUUCUUGAAAUUCUUGUAAGGGAUCAUCUUAUUUACUACCAUCGUUCUAAGUAAACAAGAUGCAUAAACAUAAUAAACAUCACAUGCAAUUAUAUAGUAGUGACAGAUAUGGCCAAUAUCAUAUAUCUCCAUCUUCGGGGCUCCAUGAUCAUCUUAUCACCGGCAUGACACCAUGAUCUCCAUCAUCAUGAUCUCCAUCAUCGUGUCUCCAUGAAGUUGUCAUGCCAAUGACUACUUCUACUUCUAUGGCUAAUGUGUUUAGCAAUAAAGUAAAGUAAUUUACAUGGCGUCUUUCAAUGACACGCAGGUCAUACAAAAAUAAAGACAACUCCUAUGGCUCCUGCCGGUUGUCAUACUCAUCGACAUGCAAGUCGUGAUUCCUAUUACAAGAACAUGAUCUCAUACAUCACAAUAUAUCAUUCAUCACAACUUCUGGCCAUAUCACAUCACAUGACAAUUGCUGCAAAAACAAGUUAGACGUCAUCUAAUUGUUGUUGCAUCUUUUACGUGGCUGCAAUUGGGUUCUAGCAAGAACGUUUUUUUACCUACGAAUAACCACAACGUGAUUUUGUCAACUUCUAUUUACCCUUCAUAAGGACCCUUUUCAUCGAAUCCUCUCCAACUAAAGUGGGAGAGACAGACACCCGCCAGCCACCUUAUGCAACUAGUGCAUGUUAGUCGGUGGAACCGGUCUCACGUAAGCGUACGUGUAAGGUUGGUCCGGGCCGCUUCAUCCCACAAUACCGCUGAAGCAAGAUAAGACUAGUAGCGGCAAGCAAGUUGACAACAUCCACGCCCACAACAAAAUUGUGUUCUACUCGUGCAAAAGAGAACUACGCAUAGACCUAGCUCAUGAUGCCACUGUUGGGGAACGUUGCAGAAAAUUAAAAUUUUUCCUACGGUUUCACCAAGAUCCAUCCAUGAGUUCAUCUAAGCAACGAUUCAAGGGAGUGAGUUUGCAUCUACAUACCACUUGUAGAUCGAGUGCGGAAGCUUUCAAGGGGAUGGUGAUGAGGGAGUCGUACUCGCCGUGAUUCGGAUCACCGAUGACCAAGUGCUGAACGGACAGCACCUCCGCGUUCAACACACGUACGGGACAGUCGACGUCUCCUCCGUCUUGAUCCAGCAAGGAGGAAGGAGAGGUUGAGGAAGGCAGCUCCAAUGGCAGCACGACGGCGUGGUGCAGUUGGUGCAGCAGUACUCCGACAGAGCUUCGCCAAGCACGUACGGAAGAGGAGAGGUGUUGGGGAGGGGAGGGGCUGUGCCUUGGCUUGUGUAUUGCAGCCCUCCCCUCACCCCUCUAUAUAUAGGGGAAGAGGGGCAAGAGGGGCCGGCCCUCUAGAUGGAACCCUAGAGGGGGGCGGCAGUCAAGGGAGAGGGGUGGCUUGCCCCCCAAGNNNNNNNNNNNNNNNNNNNNNNNNNNNNNNNNNNNNNNNNNNNNNNNNNNNNNNNNNNNNNNNNNNNNNNNNNNNNNNNNNNNNNNNNNNNNNNNNNNNNNNNNNNNNNNNNNNNNNNNNNNNNNNNNNNNNNNNNNNNNNNNNNNNNNNNNNNNNNNNNNNNNNNNNNNNNNNNNNNNNNNNNNNNNNNNNNNNNCCCCAAACCCUAGGCGCAUGGGCCCAAGGUGGGGGCGCGCCCAGCCCACUAGGGGCUGUCUCCCUCUCCCACGCAGCCCAAGUGGCCCCCCGGGAGGGGUGGCCCCUCCCGGUGGACCUCCGGAACCCUUCUGGUGGCCCCGGUACAAUACCGGUAUGCCCCCGAAACUUUCCGGUGUCCGUUUAACAACUUCCCAUAUAUAAAUCUUUACCUCCGGACUAUUCUGGAACUCCUCGUGACGUCCGGGAUCUCAUCCGGGACUCCGAACAACAUUCGGUAAUCACAUACAAGUCUUCCUGAUAACCCUAGCGUCACCGAACCUUAAGUGUGUAGACCCUAUGGAUUCGGGAGACAUGCAGACAUGACCGAGACGCUCUCAUGUCAAUAACCAACAGCGGGAUCUGGAUACCCAUGUUGGCUCCCACAUGCUCCUCGAUGUUGUCAUCGGAUGAACCACGAUGUCAAGGAUUCAAGCAACCCCGUAUUCUAUUCCCUUUGUCAGACGGUAUGUUACUUGCCCGAGACUCGAUCGUCGGUAUCCCAAUACCUCGUUCAGUCUCGUUACCGGCAAGUCACUUUACUCGUACCGUAAUGCAUGAUCCCGUGACCAGACACUUGGUCACUUUGAGCUCAUUAUGAUGAUGCACUACCGAGUGGGCCCAGUGAUACCUCUCCGUAACACGGAGUGACAAAUCCCAGUCUCAAUCCGUGUCAACCCAACAGACACUUUCGGAGAUACCUGUAGUGCACCUUUAUAGUCACCCAGUUACGUUGUGACGUUUGGUACACCCAAAGCACUCCUACGGUAUCCGGGAGUUACACGAUCUCAUGGUCUAAGGAAGAGAUACUUGACAUUGGAAAAGCUCUAGCAAAACGAACUACACGAUCUUGUGCCAUGCUUAGGAAUGGGUCUUGUCCAUCACGUCAUUCUCCUAAUGACGUGAUCCCGCUGUCAAUGACAUCUGAUGUCCAUAGUCAGGAAACCAUGACUAUCUGUUGACCAACGAGCUAGUCAACUAGAGGCUUACUAGGGACGUAUUGUAGUCUAUGUAUUCACACAUGUAUUACGAUUUUCGGAUAAUACAAUUAUAGCAUGAAUAAAAGACAAUUAUCAUGAACAAGGAAAUAUAAUAAUAAUGCUUUUAUUAUUGCCUCUAGGGCAUAUUUCCAACAGCUUGUGAUGUUUGGAGGCGAGCUGAACUACAGGACGGAGAGGAUUGUCUUCGAUGUAGCCGAGAUCCCCUUGCCGUACAACGGGAUCCUCGGCCGCCCGGCACUAGCCAAGUUCAUGGCGGCGUCGCAUUACGCCUACAACAUGCUGAAGAUGCCUGGGCCGAUGACCAUCAUCACCGUCCCCUACGACAAGAAGGAUGCGCUGAUCUGCACCGACCUACUCUACCGGGAAGCAGUUGCAGCAGCUGCCGCUAAGGCACUUGCUCCUUCCGCUGAUGCCCCGGGAGGGAAGAAGAAGACCGGCAAGACCUCUCACACCCACUCCAGCAAGCGUGCCUCUUCGGAGUGUUGUGCUACCGUCGAGGACGUGCUAGAGAGCUCCAUUGGCAAGAGCAAGAAAUCCAGAGCUGCACCACCAGAGACCAAGAUGGUGUCCGUCAAGGAGGAUUGCACGGGAGGGACUUUCACCAUAAGCUCCACCCUCGACAGCAAAUAGGAAGGCGCGCUUGUCACCUUCCUGUGGGCGAAUCUCGAUGUGUUUGCAUGGCAAGCAUACGACAUCCCCGGUGUUCCCAGGGAGGUGAUUGAGCACCACCUGGUUGUCUGUCCUCAUGCGCGGCCCGUCAAGCAGAAGGUCAGGAAGCAGGCUCUAGAAAGGCGAGAAUUCAUCAUAGAGGAGAUCAGGAAGCUAGAAGCGGCAGGCUUGAUGAGAGGAGCGCUCCACCCGACGUGGUUGGCCAAUCCGGUUGUGGUACACAAGGCAAACGGGAAGUGGAGGCUGUGUAUUGAUUACACAGAUAUCAACAAGGCUUGUCCCAAGGACCCUUUAUCGUUGCCGCGCAUCGACCAGAUUGUUGACUCCACGGCCGGGUGUUAUCUGUUCUCAUUCCUUGACGCAUACUCAGGAAACCAUCAGAUCUUCAUGACAAGAGAAGACGAAGAGAAGACAGCAUUCAUCACCCCAUGUGGUACGUAUUGCUUUUUACGGAUGCCUUUCGGGUUGAAGAGUGUUGGCUCAACGUUUGCAAGGGCGGUCCAAAUUGGUUUUGAGCCCUAGCUACAUAGAAAUAUGGAAGCUUAUAUGGAUGACAUAGUGGUCAAAACCAAGGACAAGGCAACCCUUGUACAAGACUUAGAAGAGACGUUUGCCAAGCUACGCAAGAUCAACCUCAAGCUGAACCCUUUGAAGUGUGUAUUCGGCGUUUCGUCCGGCAAACCUCUCGGGUUCUUUGUGUUGCAGCGUGGGAUCGAGGCAAACCCGGACAAGAUCAAGGCUAUUGAGCAGAUUGAGGCACCCAAGCAGAUCAAGGAUGUGCGUCGGCUCACUGGCUGCGUUGCCGCCAUGAGGAGAUUCAUCUCCAAGCCCGCUGAGCAUGCCCUUCCCUUUUUCAAUAUCUGGAAGAAAGCGGGCCCAAUGGAGUGGACCCCAGAGGCCGAGGCAGCGUUGCCGGAUCUGAAGAAAUACCUUUCCUCUAUGCUAAUACUGGUUGCGCCUAAACCAAAAGAGCCGUUGCUGCUGUAUCUGGCGGCGACUAAUCAAGUGGUCAGUGCCGCGCUAGUGGCCCAGAGGGAGGUCGACGAAGAGGCGGUGGCAACAGCAGGCUGGCGGAUGGCGAGCCGGAGAUUCCCCUGGCAGGGCCUGAUGCCGGCAAGGUGAGGCCCCCAGCAGAGUCUGACGGCAUCAGGCCAGGGCCCAUGCAAUUAAAUGAGAUGGUGCAGAAGAAGAAGAUGAUGCAGCACCCGGUUUACUUUAUCAGCUACCUCUUCUAGGGGGCUAGGUCAAGGUACUCCGGUGUGCAGAAACUGCUCUUCGGCCUCCUUAUGGCCUCGAGGAAGCUGCGUCACUACUUCCAAGCACACGAAAUCACUGUCGUCACCCGCCUCACGUUUCAACGGAUACUGCACAACCCAGACACAACCGGAAGGAUUGUGGAGUGGGCCUUGGAGCUUUCGGUCUUUGGUUUGAAGUUUGAAAGUACUUCGACAAUCCAGAGCAGAGUCUUGGCAGAGUUCAUUGCAGAAUGGACCUCAACACCUGAUGAGGAAAUCCAGGAGACCACUCUCCCCGGCAAGGAAGAAAGUCGCGACUGGAUCAUGUACUUUGAUGGGGCUUUCUCGCUGCAAGGCGCCGGUGCCGGUGUGCUGCUUGUCGCACCCAUCGGAGAGCACCUCAAGUAUGUAAUCCAGAUGCAUUUUCCCAGGGAGAUGUCCAAAAACAACACUCCCGAAUACGAGGGGCUGCUUGCCAGUCUAAGGAUCGCAGCGGACCUCGGGGUUAAGAAGCUCAUCGUCAGGGGUGAUUCACAGCUUGUUGUCAGACAAGUUAACAAGGAUUAUCAGAGCCUGUUGAUGAAGGCCUAUGUAGACGAGGUGAGGAAGCUGGAAGAGCGCUUUGACAGUAUACAAGCAGAGCACGUUCCCCGAGCGGAGAAUGACAUUGCUGAUUACCUGUCAAAGCGCGCUGCCUUCAAACUAACUGUGAAACCAGGUACUUUUGUGCUUCGGCUAACUCAAGCAUCCAUCGAACCAUCAAUGGGGCAGAACAAGCGGAGGAAAUCAGGCCCCGACAAGUACUUUCCCGACGAGCCCCCUGGGGCCACUGGCAGGGGUAAUGCCGUGGGUGCUGAGCCUGCCGAAGGGCAGCUGGCUCCGGCAGGGUAACAAGCCCUGGCCGUAGAGACGGCCGCCCCCAUCACAGAUGAGAUGCCUUUGGUCCUCGCUGUCGAGUCCCAGGCUCCGGCAUGGGCACAUCAUACCGUCCAUUUCCUCCAGACAGGGGAACUUCCCGAGGAGCAGUAAGAAGCGAAAAAAGUAGCCCGUCGGUCUGCCUUGUACCAGUUUGUCGACGACGUCCUGUGCAGGAAACGACCGAAUGGUGUGAAAUUAAAGUGCAUCCCGGGAGGAAGGACUAGAGCUGUUGGCAGAGAUACACGGAGGCAUAUGUGGCUCCCACAUAGGGUCGAUGGCCCUUGCCGGCAAGGCAUUCCGGCAAGGCUUCUUCUGGCCCACCGCCCUCCAGGAUGCGACGGCACUAGUAAACAGGUGUGAAGCGUGCCAGAUCCAUUCGAAGAAGCUUCAUCAACCAGCUCAAGCCCUUCAAACAAUCCCUCUCUCCUGGCCGUUUUCAGUUUGGCGGCUCGACAUACUGGGCCCUUUCGCUCGCGCUGUCGGGGGCUUUGAGUACUUGUACGUUGUAAUCGACAAGUUCACAAAGUUGCCGAAGGUGGAGGCAGUGAGGAAGGUUACUGCGCAGUAAGCCGUCAAGUUCUUCAAAGGGAAAGUCUACAGUUUUGGUGUGCCAAACAGAGUCAUCACCGACAACAGCACGCAGUUCACAAGCCACACCUUCAUGCAAUACAUUCAAGACUUCGGCACCAAGGUCUGUUUCGCUUCCGUGGCACAUCCACGGAGCAACGGCUAGGCAGAGAGGGCAAAUGCUGAAGUGUUGUGAGGCCUGAGGACAAAGUCUUUUGACAGGCUGCACAAGAGUGGAAGGCGCUGGAUUGAUGAGUUACGGCGAUUCUUUGGUCGAUCAGAAUGACGCCAAAUGGAGCCACCAGCCAGACACCCUUUGCCUUGGUAUACGGGGCAGAAGCAGUUAUCCCCACGGAAGUCACAUACGGGUCACCUCGAGUGCUCGCUUAUGACGAGCUUGAGCAAGAGCAAUUGCAGCAAGAUGACACAAUGCUCCUUGAGGAAGAUCAUCUUCUGGGGCUGUGAGAGCAGCAUGCUACCAGCAAGCCUUGCGCCACUAUCAUAGCCGCAAGGUUCAUGCCCGAAGCUUUGAGGAAGGCGACCUUGUUCUUCGGCACGUUCAGUCGACCAAGAAUUCCAACAAGUUGACGCUGAAGUGGGAGGGCCCUUAUCGGGUAAUAGGAGUCACCAAGCCCGGCACAGUCUGCUUGGAGAACAAAGAUGUUGUCCCAGUGAGCAACUUCUGGUACAUCGAACAUCUUUGCAAGUUUUACCCAUAAGGCGCGGUUGCCGGGCCUCCCGGCACGCCACCUUACGUACAAGCUUUACCGGCAAGGCAUGUAACCCUCUGUACAAAGCCAGGCGCAGACCCUGAGCAUAAAGAAAUGAAGCGCUGGCGCCCUAAGUUAUAGCAUGCAUGCUAGGUUAAGUCUCUCCCUCGGUUAGGGUUGAUAGUGCUUAGCAGCGACUAACCCCUAGCCUAGAGGUCGAGUGUGCGUCUUUCUGUUCUCUUUGGUUCGCAGGGCACGUGGACACUUCUGCCGAGCUGCUUGGGAGAACGAGAAAGGACCGGCGCUCCGGUCCCGACAAGCCAAGACUACCGGGAGCUGAAGACACAAGGAUCCAACCACGGCAAGCCAAGGUUGCUGGGGGCUGCGGAUUCAGAUAAGUCUUUCAUCCCCCUGUUAUGCAUUUACGUAUAGAACUGGGACAUGUGAAACCUCGUUUAUAUUCUUAAACCACCGUGCUUCCCUUUCCCUGUACCCAAGAGCUAUCUCCUGGGUCGGAACUUGGUCGUAGUCACGGUGGCGAGGGAAUGAACGAGGGGCCUAACUCUACUUCGCCCCUGCCUCCGCCAAGAGCGCGAGAAUGGUCGACUGAAGUGGGGAGACGGCAAGGCCUGUUGCCGGGCGACAAUGUUUAUCUUAAAAAUAACAAGGAUUCGUCCUUGGCAUGGGCCUCGCUCACGCACAAAGAACCUGGCAAGCGCCCUUUUUCAUUAAAAACAUCCCAUACAGGUACAGUUCAAAUGGAAUUAAAAACAUGAGCAAGGGGAUUACAAGUCUUAAAAUUAACAAGUGCCCGCAGGCUUACAAACUAAAAAGAGAUAAGGUGCCCGUAAUCCCUUUUUUUACCCUCUCCUCAGAAGGUGGAACAAGGCAGCAGGAGGGCAAAAAGAGCGCCUAGGCAGGGUACGAGGAGCAGAAGGCACCAAGUGAACAUCUUGGUGCCGGGAAUGGAGCUGAAACACGAGGCAGCGGGCCGGCAAUACGCGACGAAGGUGUCGGUGCCCGCGUACUCCGACUUGACGGCCGCCACCCGCCUUCUUCGUCUUCUCUGGCCCUCCUAUGCCAGUCGCCCAAGGAGACGACGGGGAGCGCCCCGAUGGAGAGCUUGGCGAGGAUGGCCCUCAGUAGGGCGCGUGGCCGAGGAAGGGCGGCGCGGUCAGUCGGAGUCGGGGUCGGCAUCCCGACGCUCGACUCCCUCGUCGUCGCCAUCGUUGUCCUCCUCGUCCCUCCCGCUCGAGGAGGAAUCUUCAUUGUCGGAGGAGCUCUCCACGUAGCACUUUAGACGAGUUCCAGGAUCUCUAAAGACCUUGACGGAGAGCAGGCCGCCCUCCAUUAACUUGAAGUAGAGGACGAGCCCCACCGUCAGGCUGUGGAUGCGAGCAAACGUCUUCCAUCCGCGAUAGAGGUACAUGACGUGGGGAGCGGGGAAGUCGACGUCGAGCCACGUGUCACCGUUCCCGCAGCCCCUCAUAUGCAUCCUAAGGGUCUGGGGCGGAUCGAGCUCCAUCUCCUGAGAAAAUGGGGUGGGGAUGCGGAGACGACGACGCGGUGACCGGUGCAGCCUGAUGAAGAACUCGCGGGGCUUGUCCCUGACGUGGCCCUCCAUCGCGGGAGGCAUCACUGGCGGAGGCACGACCAUUGCGGCGCCUCUCACCCCUCUUCCCCGAGCGCCACGGCGACCUCGGCCUGGCCCCCUACCCCUUCCUCUCGUAGCCGGCUACGCCGCCGCGGGCUCUUGAGAAGGGGGAACGGGCUAUCGAGCAGCAACCCACGCCGCCACCGUCUAAGGCCCAGCACCCCCUCUCGCCAUGGCGGGUGGAAGAAAGGAGCGAAGGAGGAAGAGGAUGGAUGCAGAGAGAAUGUGGGAUGACAUCCCCCUUCCCCUCCUUAUAAAGGGGCGGGGUCGAGGCUCGGCCACCCAUUCAGCCAAUCCAACCAUCGGAGGCGCAGGGAAUCAGGACCGACCCGCUGCCCAAUCAGCGACGGUCCGGUUCCAGCCUCCAACGCCUGCCACCUGCAUGGAGGACGCGUGGCGAGCAAGCAAAAUCGAGGGGACGGGUGAGGCGACCGUUCCCUGCCCCGUGAUCGUGGGGCAUGGGCGCCUUGAAGACUGCGACCCGGGUCCACUCAGUAAAUGAGCCGCGCCUCCACGCCUUCCUCUUUUUAUGGGGAAGGUGCGAGCCGCCUCUUUACCACGAUGUGAUGUAUGCAUGCGGGAACCGUCCCACACACGACCCCCACGUCAUGCACGACCCUACACGUCGUGCGGGUCGUGGAGAAGCGCAACGGACGAAAUAGUUACCACGGAGAAAAUCCCACCCCGACUGCUCGCGCACCGUUUUGGGCCAGGCCCAACAACGUGUCGCACUUAUGUGUGGCCCAGGCCCGGGGGCUCCUGCCGAUGGACGAAAGUAGGGGCACUCCUUUUUACCCCUUUACUUGUGCACGGACAGUCGGAGUCGCGCCCACAGACACAUUAAGCAGGGCAGGGGAGGGAAACCGGAGAGAAGCCGAAGCAAAAGACAACCAAAGCAACGCCAAGACCAGAAACACGGCAGAGCAAGAGGGCGAGGUAGGCUCCCUCGGCAAGAUCCUUGCCGAGGCAGCCUCCGCAGCCCCGGCAAAAGCCUUGCUGGGGUAACUUGCCCGAUGUCAGCAGAGUGAGCCAUCCUUGAGCCCAUGGGUCCCAACACCACCAACUACAUUGGAACCAAGGCUCGGGAGGCACCGUCGUGGUGGCAUGCAGAUAUUUGUCAAGAUCAUAAACAUGUGGGACCAGAUGAGGACCAGAAGGCGGCAAGACCCUCGCCGGGGACGACUGCUACGCCACGGCAAGACCCUUGAUGGGCCCCCGGCAAGACCCUUGCCGAAGGCGUCAGCAGGACCACUGCCUGCCCGCGCCAGCCAAGACUCCGCCGCCGUUCGCAUGCAGCUGCCAGCCCAACCAGCUGGGCACGCACCUGCGUGGCAACAUGCGGCUUCCAGGCCAACUCAGCAAGCACCUGCGUGGUGGCAUGCAGAUCUUCGUGAGGACCCUGCCACUGCGCCACCUCAGCAGCCUGCCUACCUACAUGGCACUGGACACAUCGCUGGCCUGGGCGCGUGUCGAAGCGAGGCGGAGCGGCGACGGACGGGACGGGUCUCGUUCCCGUCCCCAAUAAAGCUAAUGGACACGUAAGUAGCGCAUUUAAUGCGCUUUGUCCUGCAAUGCCGGGCGAUAAGCUAGCACACUAUAGACCUUUCCACCUCUCGUGUGCCACUGUGGCAACCCCUUUUUGCCUAUAAAAGGAGGCCCGAGGCGACGAGGAGAGGAAUUUGGCUGUAUUGGGCAGGUUACACCCCGUAGCUAGCUCAAGAACAUAAGAACACUCAAGUACAUCCACCAAAGCAGGACUAGGGUUUGACGCAUCCUCGCGGCCCGUAUCUGGGUAAACGACUCGUGUGCUUCCUGUCAAAGCAGCUCUUUGCACAACCUCGCACCGGCCGACCGUAGAAGAGAUCCCAGUGACCCCAUAGGUGUCGUUCCCACAGACAACAUCCAUAAGGAAUUGUGCAAAAGGAAGGAUAAAAUAUAGUCGAUGCAGUGAUCAGAUUGUUCAAUUUUCAGAACAGAAAACCAAAUAACCCAACUCAAUCCAACAGCUGUACUGAAAUGCCUACUCAUAGACAUAGUAGUUGGUAAUGCGGGUUGACACCGCGUCCCGUGCCCCGGGUUCAUCGACCACAGUUGAGGGUCGGAGUCGAGUGUGGGUCCAUAGGAUUGAGUGAAUUGCAGAAAACAUCGACAUUGAAGGCUAGGGUUGCACAAACCAUAAUUUUACAGUUUUGUGGGAAAAACCACUAAUUCUGAGGCUUGUUUUUUGUGUGCAAAAACACUAGUCGCCGGCUUAGGCCGUUAUGAGGAUGAUUAUGACAGGUGGGUCCCACUGAACAAGGUGACGUGGCAUGACAUAACUAAUCGCAAAUAGACAGAAAAUGUUAGACUAUACUGCGAAAGGGACAAAGAGGUUAAGGUGGUGAUGUUAAUUAAAAAUUAGGAUAAGAUCUGACUCGUCCUUCCUCUCCCCAGUGCCCAGCCGUGCGCACGAGCUUCCGUCUCCAUGACACCCCGCCUCCUUCUCCUAUGCCCCUCGCCUCCAUCUUCCUCCCGCCCCCCGACCUCGGCCUCGCCUUGCUGCUCACCUUCAUCGGUGCUGGCGAGGUGAAGAGGAGGCGCGACGGCGGCCCGCAUAGGAGUGGUGAGGGACGGCCAAAUCCACUCACGGUGGGCAUGGAGGUGCGGGCAAUAUGCUUGAUAGUGAGCUCCGCCGUUGCGGAUGCCCUUCCUAUUUCUCCCAUAUAUUCCUCCGACGAGCAAAAUCUUUGUGAUGCGUGCCACCGCAUGCAGGAACCAUGCCGUCAAGCUCAUCCAGGGCCGCCCGAUGCUCAAGCCGCCGCCGCCGGAGGUCCAUUACUCUGCCGUUCUAACCAACAACACCGUCGUAGUGCACACUAUACAAUGGAGAGAGAGAGAGAGAGAGAGAGAGAGAGAGAGAGAGAGAGGUGGUUACUGGGGCGGAUAGAGACAACGGGGAGCGCGAGGAAGAUGGAGGCGGCGGACAGCGAGGGCGACCGGGAAGCCGGGGACGUUGGAGGCGGCGAGCGUGAUGGUGCCGAUGUCGAAGGCCGCCAUGACGAUGGCGGCGGCGGCAAUGCGAUGGCGUGGGGGAGAAUUUUUUUGGUUGGAUAAGGUGUGUGCGGCUUGGGUUAUGGAUAAGGUGGUACCGACCAGUGACGGGCAUUAGUAAGUACCCCCCAUAGAUAGCUACCUUCAAGUUGCGGGUGACAGAAAGCACCCGGCACAGCUAAGCUUUUGAACCACAUCCUACCACUCUAAAGUCACUUUCAUAAAACAUUUGAACUUCAAUUUUUUUCUUUGAUUAAUACACACUAUACAAAGACCCGUGCUCAAAUUUGGCCACUUUUUGGGUUGGUCUCCUAGUUUUGAGACAUGAACUAAUUUUCCGGUCACUAGACAGGGCAAAACGAUCUUCGGUAUGAAAUAGUGUGCAAACAAGCUCUCAAAGGGAUGAAACUGGACAUGGUGUCCUGAUUGGAACAUUGGAGGGUGUGCUACUAAUUUGGGAGAGUUCCGGAAAAAACAUGACACACCUCUUGUACAAACCAAAUAAUCUUCACCGAAGUGUAAUGGUUUUGAACGGAUUUUUUAAAUCAUCUGAACUUGAAACUUUUUCUAUGAUUAAUAAACACCAUCCAAAGCAUAGUCCCCAAAUAUGGCCACUUUACCGGUUGGUCUGCUGUUUUUGAGACGUUAACUGAUUUUUCGGCUACUGGAAAGGGCAAAAAGCUUUGAGCGUGCAAACGGGCUCAGAAAGGGAUCAAACUUGACUUGGUAUCUUUGUAAUACCCGUACAUGAUGUGAUAAAAUUUUGAAAUCAUUACGACAAAAACUUGAUACAUUUCAUGUACAAACUAAAAACUCUCCCAUGAAGUGUAAAGGUAUCGAACGGAAACCACCACCUUCCAGACGCUACUACAUUUAUUUAAAUCAUUUGGACUUCAAACAAUUUUCAUUAGUAAUAAACACCAUCCAAAGCCACAAGCUCAAAUUUGAGACUAUUCUAGGUUUAUUAAAUACUAUUUUCUUUGGUUUUUGAGGAACUAACAUAUGUGUGGCGGACAGCUCAUAGGGACCGCCACAGCUCACUUCUGGAUUUUUUUUUAUUUCUUUUGGAGCAGGUUACUGAAAUAUUGUUGCGGCGUGCAUAAAGUUGGGGCACCACUUUUGUGGGACAUACCAGUGGCUGGCAACUCUACCAUGCCCGCCAGUGCUUACUUUAAUCAUACGGGCAAAAUUUCAAAAAACUUACGAGUGGUGUGUCAGUAUUGCUGCCCGCCACGGCUGUUGUGAUUUUGGUGGCGAGCUUCUAUUUCUACCCGCCACUGCAACUUUUCCAAAAUAGCAGUAGUGGGUUUCCAGCCAUGCCCGCCACUCAUUUGGGUUCCCAGUAGUGCAUUAGUGAAUCUAUGCAAAUUUUAUUAUAUAAAUGCAAAAAGACAUAAAAUGAGAAUCACCUUAUUUGUGAACGUAGACGUCAUUAAUUCCACAAGAUAUGAAAUGAACAUUAAUAUUUAUAGAUUAAUUGGAGAUGGAUACAAAAAGGCUAAAGCUUUAGUAGCCAGGAGAUCUCAAACGAGCAUACCACAUUUAUUAACAUUACACAUAUUAAUAUUAGGAUAUCCAAGCUGGGCAUCAAUGUAUUUGUUAAUAUUGGACAAUAAUCAAUUGGACAUCCAUUAUUAAGUUGUAUUGCAUUAAUGAAUCUAAUAAAAUUAAAUGAGCAUCAAUACCGUGAGAUACAAAAUGAGCAUUGAUUUUCAUGGACUGGGGACGAAUACACAAAUGCAUAAGCCUUAGUAACCAGGAGAUCCCAAACGAGCAUACUACAUUUAGUAACAUUACACAUAUUAAUAUGAGGAGAUCCGAACUGGGCACUAUUGUAUUUCUGAAUUUAUUGGACAAUAAUCAUGACAUCCAUUAGCAAGUUGUAUUACAUUAAUGAAUCUAAGAAAACUAGAUAUAGUAUAUAAAUAGAAGAACACAUAAAAUAAGGAUCAACUUAUAUACGACGAUAUGGAGGGCAUUAAUGCCAGUAGAUCCAAAUUGAGCGAAUGUCACUAUGUGAAUUUAUUGGACAAUAAACGUUUGGAUACACAUCAUCCAGUUGUAUUGCAUUGAAGUAUCUAUAGAAAAUAAAUGUAUAUAAUAUUAUAACAUAUUAAAUGAGAAUCAACUUAUUUGUGACUAUAGGGGUACUAAUACCACGAGAACAAGAAGAGGCAUUAAUACCGAAGAUCCAAAGUGAGCACUAAUACCACAAGAUCCAAAAUGAGCACUAAUACUCAUAGAUUACUUACAGGAGAUCCAAAACAAGCACACCACAUUUAUGAAAAUUACACAUCAUAUUAAUAUAAGGAUAUGCAAAAUGCAUCAAUUUUACCAUCAAAACUUAUUUGAGAAUAAUCAUUUUGAUACCCAUGAUCAAGAUGUUCGCAUGUGUGAACCAAUGGACAUUCGAUAUAUAAAUAUGAGAAGAUUUAAAAUGAAAAUCGGCUUAUUUUUAAAUAGAGAGGUCAUAUACCAAGACAUCCAAUGUGAGCAUUAGUACCAUGAUAUCGAGAGAGAGAGAGAGAGAGAGAGANNNNNNNNNNNNNNNNNNNNNNNNNNNNNNNNNNNNNNNNNNNNNNNNNNNNNNNNNNNNNNNNNNNNNNNNNNNNNNNNNNNNNNNNNNNNNNNNNNNNNNNNNNNNNNNNNNNNNNNNNNNNNNNNNNNNNNNNNNNNNNNNNNNNNNNNNNNNNNNNNNNNNNNNNNNNNNNNNNNNNNNNNNNNNNNNNNNNNNNNNNNNNNNNNNNNNNNNNNNNNNNNNNNNNNNNNNNNNNNNNNNNNNNNNNNNNNNNNNNNNNNNNNNNNNNNNNNNNNNNNNNNNNNNNNNNNNNNNNNNNNNNNNNNNNNNNNNNNNNNNNNNNNNNNNAACCAAAAUGAGAAUUAAUAUACAUCGAUUGGCCAUGAAUAAACAAACGCACGAGCAAUAGUAACAGGAGAUCCCAAACGAGUAUACUGCAUUUAUGAAAACCCACUAGAUGCAUUAUAAAUAAAUCUCGAUCCAAUGUAAAUCACCUACAUCCAUCUAGCUCUGCAGUGCAUAUCCUUCUAUAUACAUUUAUCUCUACCUAUUUUUUCUUGAGUACAGUUUGGGGGUUCUAGGUAGCCUUGCACCAAUGGCGACAACUUUGAAGUCCUCCAUCAUCUUCUCUGCUAGUGUAUUCAUGCUCCUUUCCAUGGCCAUAACCGCUAAGGCCAAUGUCUCUAGUGGUGCAAGGGCCAAGGUGACCAACCUCAUGAUGCAAGCAUGCAAGAAUGCAUCAGCCUACAGUCGUGAUGGCGACCUCCGUAGCGUCACACAGGAAUUUUGCUUAUCGACCCUGCAAUCGGACAAUCGGAGUGUUGAUGCUAAGGACCACCUUGAACUGGUGCUCAUCACGAUUGACAUCCUUAAAGGCCGCCUCACUACUGCAACUCACAAUGUCGAGAAAAUGCUAGAACAUUCUAAGAAAGGCACAAUGACUGCACGCGAC
This 72896-nucleotide long non-coding RNA is filed under the name Triticum aestivum (bread wheat). RNAcentral's name for it is "long non-coding RNA (TAES_LNC002485)". Lineage: Eukaryota; Viridiplantae; Streptophyta; Magnoliopsida; Poales; Poaceae. The record is from RNAcentral.